Xyrichtys novacula (pearly razorfish) is the source of this 84226-nucleotide non-coding RNA. The record is from the annotation of a GenBank genome assembly. Lineage: Eukaryota; Metazoa; Chordata; Actinopteri; Labriformes; Labridae.
CACAAACAGACGCUCCUGCUCGCUCGUAUCGUUCCAAUUAAAUUCAGAUAUAAUGCAGAUAAAUACUUCAGAUCAUUACAAAUGGGGCCCAGUCAAGGUGAAAGUCAAAAGCAUUGGUGCUACUGUAGAUGCCAACAGACUACCAGCAAACACAAUGUUUGCAGGACUUCUACAACGGGGAUAAAGUGACAUAGUCCAGGACCCGAGGGAGGACAGUUUAGCGGCGCUACAACAUGCUACAGCAGGUCCGUUUGACAAGAAACACUUCUGUUACAGACACUUGUCUUACUUUGUUAAAGCGGUUUACCUGUCCAGCAGAAAGGUUACAGGGUCACCAAGAUCCCCAAGCGUCCCCCAUCGUUUAUGUUGACCCGGCUUUUUAGCUCUUGUCCGGUCUACCUCCGUUUUAAGCGCCCGUUAUUCCUCCAGAGUCUCCGGUAUUUACUUUGUUUUCUUGCUUGUGUCGGCAGUCGUGGCCAAAGGAGGAUUCAGACAAUUUUCCGAACUUUCUGGUUGGUUUCUACUGUCCGAUAUUGUAGCACGCUAACUUUGUUUGGCCUUCGUGCCUCCCUGUACACCGCAAAGCAAACAGCGUAUGAUAUGGCGGUGUAGGUACCAGCUGUGUCCACAAAAAAAGAUGCUUCUUGAACGAAAUCCACCUUUAAGUCAAAGCUCUUACAGUAAAGUGGAGACUUUGUACAUGGUCCUUUAUUUAUCAAGAAUUCAGUAUAUCAAUAUCAACCAAACUAAUCAGUGUUAGUAUUUUUGCAAUGAUGGAGCAGCCCUAUUUUUAUCAGCACAUCUUGUACUCAGAGGUCGUAUUUGAUGCUCUGAGAUUGAGCUAAAUUGGAGGCUGAGUCGGGAAUAUGUCUGCAGAUAAUGUAAACUACUUCUUUCGUCUCCUGCAGCAGUGAUAUCAGUCUCUUACCAAACAAGUUUAUCUCAAUAAAGCUUCAUUAAAGCUCAUUGUAAUAUCUCUUUCUCUUUGUGCUUUAAUUAAGAUGAAACGAUGCGGCUGUUGGAUGGAGUCUGGAGAAAUGAGAGGAAACUGGCGGGAGCUGUGCAGAUCUCUCACAUGCUGCAGGGCAUCCUCUUAAAAACACAUGUUUACACUAAAUCUGUGUGCUAUUUCUGCAGCUUUAAGGGUUUUGGUUAUUUUAACUCGGGGUGGCCAUGUUGAGUGACAGGCUGGCUCUACAUUUAGAUCUGUCUGGACCUGUAUGGCUCCAGUAUGGACCCCCCCGGUCUUCUCUGCAGCUGAUCUGGUCCUCGGGCGUCUCUGUGGCUCAGACUCUGCAGUGAACACACUCAGUAUUCAGCUCAGAGUCCACAGCGGACGGCUGGGGAAGAAAUACGACUCCACUGUCACACUUGGCUGAUGUCCCUGUGCUCCUCUACUCCCUCCUUCAUCCCCACCCCCCUCUCUCCUCGGCUCGAUAUCUAACUCAUGUCCUUUACGAAUGGGCCAGUGGGGAGUGUUUCUGUAUGUGUGCGGUGCAGAUGAGAGGCCGUUUAUUGUGUGCGGGCUACCGGGAGGAGCCAGGAGGGGGAGAAAGAGAUGAAAAGGGUGCAGGAGAUGGAGGAAAACAAAGAUAGAUACUGAGGAAAUUAUAUCAAGAGAUGGGGGUGACAGAUGGAGAGAAAUUAGGACCUGCGUCGGAGUAUAACCAGUUUUCCUAUGAGCCAUGCCUCCCUUCAACAACCCACAUCCAUUGUGCUUUUCUGUGAAGGUGAAGCAGGAAAUGAAGCCUUCAGACACUGCAGCUCAAUAUAACAGACCUCUAAGUGCAUUUAUGUUAUUGAAUCACCGCUGAUGUAUCGAAAUUUCCUUUAGAAUUAACUCCAUAAACUGCAGCCUUCCAUAAACGGCUCACAUGUGAAUGGCCUACGCCUGGAAAUUCAAUUUCAGCCGGUGAAUAGAAACAGCUCUAUCUCCCUCACAGAUGCAGCACCUUUAAUUUAUUUUCUGGUAUCAUUUAGUAUCUUUUUCACUCUUUGCUUUCCAUCAUCUUCCUCUAUAUUCUUCACCGCCAUAAUGACCCAAAUUCUCCCUGAGGGAUCAACAAAGUUCACUUUAUCUGUGUUUGCUGGAGCUCCUGAGUCGAGCUGAUAAGUGCAGACAGAGACUGUGAACGUCGACAGUCAGACAGAGAAAAGGUCUGAUAUGUGGAGCAGAUUUAGGAGAAUUAGACUGCUGCAGAUACGGAUGCAUAUCUCCAAUUAUUCCAGCUUAUUGUGCAGCAGUCUCCAAAUUGUUUCAGACAGGGUGUAAAAACCUGUUUGUCUGAAUUUCAAAUUUCACAGAUUUUUGCAUUAUUGUGAAACCCGGCAGCUUCUGGGCCCUGACAGUGAAGUGAUAGGAAAUGAAAACAAUAGAAGGCAGUUUGGAAAUGUUAUUUGUUUCUGGUUCUAUUUGUUGAUAUUUGCUUGUUUUGUUAUAUUUUCUCUCCAAACAAAGUCGAUUUAUUCCAGCUCUCAGAGAUUUGCCAAGCUUUAAAGGAUUUAAAGUAAAUGUCAUUUUAAAUCAAAUAAAAAGAGAGAUAUAAUGUUAACAGAACACCUACUGGUUGCUCUUUUAGUAAAUGAAAUGUUAACAAAGUUCCCUCUGUUUACUUUUUUGUUAUAAAGAUUUAUAAAACAGUUCCCUCUUUUGCUUUGUAAUGACUAAUAUGUAAAUAAAGUUACCUCUGGCUGCUUGUUUCAAAAACUUAUAUGUAAACAAAGUGCUAACUGUUUUUUCUUGAAGUAAAUCAAAUAUAAACAAAGUAUCUUCUGGGUGCUUUUUUGGUUGUUUUAAGUAAACUAAGUGCCCUCUUUAGCAUUUUAAUGACUCAUGUGAAUUAAGAUCCCUAUGGCUGCUUAUUUUAAUAACUUAUAUGUAAACAAAGUGUCCCCUGUUUUUUUUUUUUAAUGAGUAAUAUGUAAACAAAGUGCUUACUGGUUGUUCUUUUAGGAGAUCAUAUGUAAACAAAGUGCCUUUUUUCUUUCUUUUUAAUAUCUCAUGUAAAUAAAUUUCCCUUUGGCUGAUUAUUUUUUAUAACUAAAAUGUACACACAGUGCCCUCUGGGUGCUUUUUUCAUUGACUUAAAUGUAAACUAAGUGCCCUUUGGUAUUUGGUGCAGUUCCUCCAGUGUCCACUUGGGGCCGACUUUAGAAGCCUCAGAAGUCACAUACUAGCGUUAUUAGUUUUCCGUAAGAACGUGUAGUUAUGAGUUAGAGUUUUCUACAAAUGUCAAGGGUGUUAUGAGUCCUUUAGUACGUCAUAUUUAAGAGAAGCAGUUUAUGGCCUAUGUUGUCAGUAUACAAUAAAAAGACUAAAGCUUCAACAGUUUAAUCUUCUUAAACUGUUGAGCAGAAAAGAACUGAGGUGUAAUCAGAUUUGAGAGAGGACUGAUGCAAAGAGGCAGAAAUCACAGCAUAUGGCGAGCGCGAGCGAGUGCUGAGUCACUGCUAUUGAUCACAACAGCAUCAAGCCUCCAUCUGUGAUAUACUGUGGUCAUUCUGUACAGGAGGGCAGGAAAGAAAUAUGACCUAAUGUCCCUUUAAAUAUUCUCUGAGGUGGUGGAAACAUGGAUUUAUGAGCAUUAAGCCACCAAUGAUCCCAAUCAGCCUGUUCCAGCAGCAGGUUUGAUGUAACAGCGAACGCAGGAGCCGUGUUUUUAAUCUCUCUUCUGGUCUUUAACUUCACUGCAUGACUUCAGCGAGGAGCUUCCACCGCCCGCCGUGAAGUCCUCACAGAAAUUGGAAAUGUUUAAAUCUGCCCUCACGUUUUUUUCCUCUUCGCUGAAGCAGACUGAAGUUGGAGCCUCAGCAACAAAGCAGGGCUUUCUGCCCAUUUUUUCGGCACUGGCUCUGCCUCUUUCCAUGCCUCCUUUUCUGCCUCCCUGGCCGACUCUCAGGGGCCGAUGAUAGAUUGCUCUCUCUCCGCCUUUGUGCUGGGAAAUUGCUUUGUUUUGUUAACAGUCUGCCUCUGUUCCAGCCCAGACAGCAGAGAUAGGGCGCCUCCUUUCUUCACUUAUCUGGCCGAAUAUGUUUGAGACUGCGUUGAAAAUGAAUUACAGUUGGAUACGUAAAAGAAAAGUAAACAGGGGUCAGAGAAAUGUCCCACAUGUUACAAGGGAAGGAUAAUCUGUCCUUACGUGAGCAGACUUACCAAAAUUUCAAUACAUAUAUGAAGGUGAGAAUGACGUAACGUGCAAAUCCUGCCUUCUCUAUUCCGACCCCACUUGGGGAACCUAGACCGUAGAAUCUGGAGGUGUUUUUGUUCAUAUAUUUAAAAGUAUGACUCAUAGAAGAUGAAAUAUGACCUGGAUAAGAUCGAACCACAUCACAAUUUUGUCAACAAAAAGUAAUGAUCCGCCACAGAUUUGGUCAUACCAGAUUCUUGUAAGAAUGUAAAAAAAAUGCACAUAUUUGCAGAUUCUUGGAGUUUUCUUUUAAACAUGUAGGACUAAAGCUGUUUCAUUAACGUUGUUCAUCUGUUCUUGUGCUAAUUUCCGUUUCAUUUCAAUUUUUUAUGGUGCUGGUUUCAACAGGACUCAAGUUCAGCACCAUGGAUAGCACCUGUCGGACAGCCCCUUAGAUUCUGGACACAGUGAAGUGUCUUUAUUCCCACUGUCUCACCCCCAAUUUUUACAGCAUCUGGAACGGCUCCAAUCUGGAACAGCUACGAUUUGCCAAUUCCUACUGGAUCCGUUGGUGAGGCGAUCCAUUCGUGGUGGAUUACAGACAGUGGUAAACACGAGAACUCACAAGAACCCACGGAUUGAUGUGCAAUUGCGCGAUAAUGAGUUGUCUCUAUAAAGACAGACACAUAGACAUAUAAGCAGUAGAUUGUGUCCUUCCAGAGGAGGAAAUCUACUUCUAGACUUCUAGAAUCAGCAUCUCCUCAUCCAUGGUGUCAUUGGGGUGAAAUGACGUCUAAAAACCUUUCGCUUGUUCGUCUCCGCUUGUUUGCGUGGUGUGAAAUACAAUCCACCUGUUUAUUUUGAAAAGAAGCUGUUUUAUUUUGUGUUUGUGUCCGACUUCCUCUCCAGCACAGGUUAAUCUGAGCUGAAUUUAUCCGGCAUGCUCUGGUGUCCAGAAAAAAUAGAGCUCUUGCGAUCAGCUGUGGAGUCCGGCGAUCCGCAGAGGAACGGAAAGAAGUCGGUGGAAACUGACACAUUAACUUGAGUGGUUACGAUCAGCUGCGAUCAGAGGAUACGGCCUCUUCGUACACAUUGCAGAUGCGGUAAAAAUUGGGGGUCAGACUACUGUUGUCAUUUUUAUUGUGUGUUUGAUGGAUUGAUGCGCCACUCAGAUUUUGCUAAAUGGAAGCCGUUACUUUACGAUUUUUGAUAAUUGUUUGAUGAUAAAACAACAAAUUACUGUGAAACUUUUGGGCGGGCACAGUGAGCUUAAGGCCCGCCUUGACUCCACCUCUUGACCUCAGUUGAGUCAGCUGUUCCAAUAUGGCGACCACAAACGUUUGGCUCCGAUACAGCUCUUUUCAGGUGACGUCACCGAGACUACAUCCAUGUUUCAUACGGUUUUAUCAUGAGGGGGCGGUGUAUCCAAUAUGUCAAGAUGUCAUCCUGAGGUUACUCUGUUUUUACUGUAUCCUAACAUAUCAACAGUGUGUGUGUGUGUGUGUGUGUGUGUGUGUGAGAGUCCCCAGAAUAUGUGCGUUUCUCCCUGUGUGCAUGUCCUUGAGGCUGAUGGCAGCUCUCCUGAACUUAACUGACAAAAGAGAGACAUUGUAGUGACGUGUGUGUAUAUGUGUGUGUGUGUGUGGUCUGUGCGCGCAUGUGCGUGUGUGUGUGAGUAUGUUUAACAUAUUGGCUUCCCUUGUUCUCAGUGUUUCGUGAGACUGAAGCUGCUGCUCGGAGGCCGAACUGUCAGAUCAGAUAUUCGGAGAGACCGUGAUAACAGGUGAACACACGCACACACACACACACACACACACACACCAAGGAUUGAACAGUGGGAUACUCACUGUGGAUGGAAGUUGCCAGAGGCUAUGAGAACACACACACAUACACACACACACACACACACAUGAAUUUUGUGUAUCAGUGUCUGAGUUGUGUGUCUUUCUAAAGAGAAUUUACCGAGUUUUUAACCUCCACUUUUUGUCGUGUGUUUGUGUCUAUAUGAAAAUGAAUAUUUGUGCGCCUUUGUGCGUGUGCACAGUGUCUGUUUGUGUGUGUGGUUGUUUUUCUAAAAGCAGCAGGAGUCUCAGUUUUGCCGGGGUAGACGUUGCGGUUUGAGGUGAGUGUUUAGUUGAGAUAAAACAGAUAUACCGCUCUGCUGAGUUUAGCCGGUUUAUAAAACAUGAGAUUUCAGUUAAAAGUUACCAAACAGAAACAGACAGUUAUGGAGAUGACUAAGAAAAUCAAAUAUUGAACAGAAAUGGAAGCUGGGAGUUUACGUCCUUAGUGGCGUCUGAGCCUGAUGUGCAGCACAUUAAUAUUUGGUCACCAGGUGAGUAAAACAACACAAUCAGACGGCCUCGGGGACUCUUUUCAAAGUAUAAAUGUGGUCCCAUAAAUUAAAACAGACCUGAAAUCAUUUCCCGGAUCCACGGACAGCAGCUCAGGACUGUAAACAACAAAGAAGUCGAUGAAUUAGUUUCACUGCAGGAAGUCUAAGAACGCUUUAACCAGAGUCCACUGAGAUGUAUUAGAGGCAGAUUAUAAAACCAUCACAGGACGUACGUUUAUGUCACACAAUCUUCAGAAAAACAGCAGAAAAAGUCUGAAUUUUAAUACAUUAUAAGUCUCUUUGUAGUCAGCUAUAAUGUAGUAAGUUAUCUCAAUACAAUCUCAAUUAUUCACCCAGAUUUAUGCACCAACUGUGAGAUUUAAAUCAGCUUUGAAUAGUUGCAGGAUAAAGCAAAGAAACAACAGAGACAUAAAGUCGACCCAGGCGGAGAUUAAAGAGGAAUAAUGAACAAAUAAUGUGCCGUAAAUUAAAGCAGCGUUUGCCUGGAAAAAAUAUCGUUAAUGUUAUUUCAACAAAGACUGCAAACAAGACGUGGAGGUAUGGAUUCAAACGCUCCCUAAUCGAGCCAGCAGGAGGAAACAUCACUAUUCUGUCUUCACUGGUGGACUGAACUAGUUUUACAGAAAGCUAACAGUUGUUCCAGUAAACACCAGGAAGCUUCUCGCUCUUUUGAUGUUUAUUGGAACUUUAUUCUUGUUUUUUUGUUGUUGUUGUUUAAAGUGAUUUUCUGGCGUAAAAUAAUUUUUAGGGUCAAACACACCGGAACAGAGUUAGACAACUCCUCUGGAGGUGAAUGUUGCCGACCGCUUGCUUCUCUAGUUAUACCAACUUUAGUAACGACCGCAGAUAGCAAUACAGAGAGCCACGCCCACACUCUAUAGCCUCAAAUAAUACUCAGAACAGCACCUAACUUCAUCAACAGGACAUACAGGGUCACAGACAUAGUACUAGACACCAAACAUCUAUUUAGCUUUAGUAAGAGACUAAACACAACUCACCUACUCUCUUCCAGCAGCCGCUUGUUUGUAGUGAGACCUUGGGCCAAUCCAUUACGGACUACAGCGGGGUGACACAGCUCAAGGAAGAACAUUUAUGAUCAUUUCUUCAUGGAAAUACAAUCAGACCGAGACGCUAAGGCAGAAGAACUACCGCGUCCGCAGUGCAAAAUGAUAAAUAUGAUGAUUAUUACUUCAAGGAAAGUAAUGCCUUGUCCGAAUAUAAGGCAAGCGUUAAAAUAACUUUCGUAGACGUAACCAUCUUGUUUCAGGCCUCUGAUUUUGCUUUUUUCCGACUUGGUAACAGAAACGCUGGGAAUUCGGGUGUGACGUCAUUUUCAGCUCCGACAUCUCACUUUUGAGCAGUGGCGAUUGCUCUAAGACUGCAAGGGAAGCUCGGCUUCCCUUAAAAUGUCACCCCCCAAAAAAAGAAAAAGUGGUGAAAUACGUACGGCUGUGUGUACAUUUCAUUAACUAAAUACGCACUAGAAAGCCUUCAACUUUUGUUCAGACACUGUGAUAAGAAGCUGAUAAUCACAGGUAACCGGCAUAACUUCGUUCUCAUUCAUCCUCGCAGCGCCUCAGCGCUUCAAACAGCCGGACGCUGGGCUUCUGCUGACUUCAAUGUGGAAGCUUAAAGUGGGUUGUUCCAGCAGCGAAACUCAUUGGAUAAAUGCUGGGCUUUGUCCCGCCCAAUGGAAGCCCAGCUUCACUGGAGUUCUAUGGUGAGAGGGCGGUCCCGACUUUCUCCCGGACUCCGAGCUUCUGCAUCCAUGAUUGGAUGAGCUGUCUGAGGCGAAAUCCUUUUUUGAUUGACAGCUAAACAAGCGAAUCAGCGAUCUUGAAGAAUAAAACAUCUACCAGAGCAUUUUCCAAGUUAUUCAUUCCGUUGUUCUUAACUGCUCCGGAGACUUUACCGAUCCUCAGCGACUUUUGUCUUUGUUAAAAACGACUGCCGUUGUGUUUGGCGACUCUGUUCUGUUACAUACUAAUAAACAAAUACAAUUAUGAUGUAGGCCAGAAAAAUGAGCUUCCCCUCCUUGAAAGACCAGCAGCCGCCACUGCUUUUGAGGUAACUCUAACGCAGCAUUAGGCACGAAGGACUGAUGGAUUGGUCUGGAAUCGGUUAUCGCCAAGUUUAUUAUCAUGAAAAAAAAAAUACAGAUUAGUGAAAGGGGAAAAAAUAAGCGUGAGAAAUGUCAAGUUUGGCGUGUGGUGUGAGAACGGGUCAAAUUGCGUGACUGUCACACUCAAAGCAUGACGAUUGGCAGCUCUGGGUUUAUGGUGUCGGUCCUUCAUCUCAGACAAACUCUACAAACCGUAGACCAGUUCAGAGGGAACUUCGGGACAAAGCAUGUUGCAGAAUCUGAGCGUAUCAUGCUUUACUCCAUUUCAGUCCAGCAGCAAAAAGAACUUCAGAGGACGAUUCGUUAUAACUGAGUUACAGUGAACCAAAAUACUGCAACCAUGAGGAGUCAGAGGUAAAACUUUCCCACCAAUACCCACAAAUUCUAGAGGAGGAAAUGAAUGAUCGCUGGACAGGCACUGAAGAAACACAAAAAUAUCCUGAGAUUCAAAAUAAAAUAUUUAUGCAACAGAAACCAAAAAACCAACUGAAGGUGAUGACCUCCUGAGGAGUAAAAAUCCAACCGAACAGGAGAGCUCGGCCUCUUCAUACAUCCUCACAGCCUCAACUGAGAGAGGCCACAGGUGCUGAGUCUGGAUCUCUGUUCAGAACAUGAACCACAGAGACAUCCUGGUUUCUCAUACCUGCCUGUGUGAGACACCGGAGAGCAAAUAAAGAUGUACACUCUCCUGACGCUGGAGUGAAACCUGCUGCUGGGUUGAUGUCUGUGUGUAGACAUGUGUUUUGGUCAUGGCCUCCUAACACCAGGAUGAGAAACUCGGCCUCUAAUCCGUUCUUCCAUGAGGUGUAUACUCCGUCUUUUUCACAAAUCACUAAGGUGCCACUCAAAGUGUAAACUCCAAACACACACCGACUUCAGGUCGGCCCCACUCAGGGCGCCAGUCACUCAGUAUGAGCUGAAUUCUCACAUCAACCUAUAUUUUUUUCUCCCAGUCACUGAUCUGACCAUCAUCCCCUCACCUCCACUCACCUGAGCAUCAAUCUACCCAUCAUCCAACACUGUCAGCCAAAAGGUGACUGUGUCAGAGAAGAGGAGCUGGAGAUGAAGUCAGACUGAAACUGGACGUUUUAAUCAGACUGGAAUCGCCCCAAAUAAAAACUUUUUUUUCUCUCGUAUAUUUUUCUAUUGGAUUGAAACUGGCGUGUUCUGCACAUGUCAGGGAGUUGUCACACCAGGCUGUAGCUCAGAUGUUGAACAAUGUAGAAUAGUGUUGGCCAGUAUGAUGGUAUGUGACGGUAUAAAAGUGUCUACCUGUAGAAAUUUUGCUCUACCGUUUAUACCGGAGAGAGAGAGAGCAGAUGUCUGCUGCGUCUCUCUGAGUCAGUGUGGAGAUGUCUGUGCUCGCUAACAGGGAAGCCGGAGCGCAUGAGUUUGGGUGCGUUUCCGUAUAUUCACCAGCGUAUCGUGCGAAGUUUGUUCGCUCCAUUUGAUUGGUCAGGUUUGGGUGCGCUCCCUAUGAUCACCAGCGUGUCCAGCAGACUGCUUGGCAUAGUUUCAACGAAGAAGAAACAGCUUCACUGGUGGUGGUCAUGGCGGACAAGGAGAUUGGAGAAAAUUGGAGGCAGCCCGACUCACCCGACACGAGGAAGAGGAGGAGGAACUUGUUCCGAAAAAUGGCGCGAGUCACGACAUCGGUUGUCUGGAGAUUCUUCUGAUUUAGAAAAUCUGACAAUGAUCAAAAAUCAAUAUUAUGCAUAGAGUGUCGUGUGGCUGUCGUUGUUGGAGGAGGAAACACCAACAGCCUCUUCCACCACCUAAAGAUAAAACACGCCAAACUCUAUUAUGAGAGCUAAAGAUGCGUGACGCACCUGCUGCACCAGAAACUAAAACUGCAGCAGCUCCUCUCAGACUAAAGAGCUUGGCCGAGUCUUUCACCAAAGGUACAACAUACGAUAAAAAAAUCACCAGACUGGUCUGAUAUUUUGUUUGCAUUUGUUUACAAAUCUGAGUUUAAAAAUAAAAGAAAAAUUAACAAAUGAGACAGUUUGAUUAUUUUCAAGACAUUAACUGAAUUUACAGAGAAAAAACAUACCGUGACUGAAACCUCUGCGUCUCCUGGUCGCACUGACGUAAAGGAUUCAGCUCAUUUCUUCAACAACAACAACAACAAAAAGCCUUAAAAGUGCUUUUCUUUUAUUCAGUUUAUGGUACUUACUGAUCAAAUUCCUUCAGUCCGCUCUUUCGUUGAUCAAGUGUAACUUAGAAAUAUGUUUGGUAUCAAAGCCAUGGUGCGGCAGAUAUCAGGGAGGCUGAAUGCUCUCUUCACAGACUGAUGUUUUCUAAAUUGCUCCAUCAGAUGGCCGAGGGUCGGGCCGAAGGCGAUGGGUCCGAAUAAAAAGCCAAGUCAUGACUAGGAAAAUGAAAAUAGUCUCGCUCCAUAAUAUAGAGGUUGAAGAUAAAUCCAUCUCCUGCAGAACCUUGAGUCUCUUACCUGUAUUAUGAGGACAGAGACCUUUGGCAAAGAUGCUUUUAGUGUCUGUGGCUGCAGCCUGCCUCCUGACCGCAGGGUUUUACUUUAUUUUUCUUUACGUCUUUCAUCUGAUCGGGGGCAUUACAAAUACCAGAGCGAGAAAUGAUCCAGAGGAAGAGAUAUAGUUGUUUGUCCUGCAGGUAAAAGCAUCAUAAACGGCUGAAAUGAAUGUAAAUAGUUAGUUAAUAAAGAUUUCAGACCAAAGUGAAAUGCAAAAGCUUUUAGUGUUAGAAAACUUCCUUGAAAAUAUAUAUUUUUUUCUUAAUAAUUGUUCAUUUUACUGUAAUUCAGCCUUAAAUGCUUUGUGUCAUAAAAAAGUGAAACCUUUGAACCAAACAGCCAUUCAUCCAUACAUCCACUUAUGCACAUCUAUUCAUCCGUUCAUGCAUUCAGCCAGCAUGCAUGCAUUUCCUCAGGUCACUUCACCCUUUAACGUUCAUGGAUGUGGAAUAAAACUGAAGACGUUUCAGUCUAGACGGUCUCAUCUCUGCUGCUCUGAUAGCUCAAGUGUUGAAACCUCUGCUGGAAUAAUCACACGCGACAUGCACAGACUGCCAAACUGGAUACAAGGGGCUUAAUUGAUGAUGCUCUUGAAAAGAUUAUCUUCAGUUUGUUAAUUUGGAUCAGAGAGGCGGCUGUGGUCAUGACAGUAACUGUGAGGAGAUCUGAGAACAGAAGAGGAUUCGGCAUCUGAGCUGAUUCUGAAAAACAAUCCAGAUGAUUUUUUACGCACUUCUGGUUCUAGUUUGCUCGUCACUCCCACGAUGUCCUAAACAUUCCUGCAUGACUUAUCCAAACUUCCCCUCUCUGAACUGCGCCCCCUGGUGGUGGUCAGGAGAGUCGCAGUGAGCUCAGAUGUCCCCUCUCAUCUACCAUCAUUCUCUUUGUGACAGUCAGCCUCAACUUCUCCAAAAACACCAGAGGGUUGAUCAGUUUCUUUCUGUGCAGGGUUUUCAUGCUCUCGCUCAGAUAAUACCAAUGUGAACUGAGCUGAUACCUCUGCUGUUAGUGUAUGAAUGUGUGUUUACUUGUAGCUCCAGUUGACCUCACUCUCAUGCUUUCCACCAUUUAUUUUAUGAACUGUCUUUUGAAUGUCGAUAGAUGUGCCUGUCCUGAUUAUUGAUUAAAGCGACUGUUUAACGUACAGCUGCAAUAUUAAAGGUGAGGUAGGAAGGAAUCCGUUAAAGAAGCAUCUUUUUUUGUUGUGUAUUUACAAAAAAAAACUUUUAAUAUCAGUCAAUAAUUAUUAGUUAUUGAUGACAUUUGGUAAUAUAACAAUAUCUCUGUGUUCUCUUAUGUCUGUUUAGUCAACGUUUUAAAUUUUUUGAGCGGUCCGCUCUUUCUGACUGUAAACAAAGCCGUUCUCCACCUCCUCUAACCUGAUUGGUUGUGAGGCAGACGCUGCUCCCCCGUGUCGUUCACGAGUCCAAACAAAGUUAGCGUGCUACAAUAUCGGACAGUAGAAACCAACCAGAAAGUUCAGAAAAUUGUCUAAAUACCGGAGACUCUGGAGGAAAAACGGGCGCUUAAAAUGUGUCGCUUAUAUCUGGUAAAGGAGUAAUCCACCUCCACAGUGGCUGCCAUCUUGCACCGCCAUGUUUCUGCAGCAGUAUUAGACAGAGAAAUAAGAAACAUGGCUGCAUUAAAAGCAUGGAAGAUAAAGACGCUGCAAAACAUGUUCCUUUUCCCUUUGGAUAUUAUAAAAUGACAAUUAUGGCGUCAAAAUGAAUCCAUCUACACGAGUUUAAAGGCCGGAGAUUUCCUGCUCAGAUCUAUAUGUUUGAGCAUUUAAUCCCUUUAAAUAAACAUAACACUACGUUACAGUGCCCAUAUGUUUGUCCUGUGAGACGAUGAUAAUCUCUGAGAUGGUUUACAGUGUUGUGAUUCGCAUUUGUGCAAACUGUACGGCUUCCUGUGUUGGCUUUGCGUUAUCCGUCAUGUGUAUCUGUGUGAGCCUGAAACCCCCUCAACCGUCUACCUGUGCUUACAUGCAUGAAAAGCAGACGCUGCAGAGGGAUGACCUCCACGGCCAUCUGUGAGUCUGUGGCAGCCUGCCACUGUGCAAACACUCAGCCAUUCAUACAUCUGUUUAUUCAUAAAUGCAGAUUAUUGUAAAGGUAUUCCUCAUUCAGUCUUAGUCUGUGUGCAGACGACUGCGUGUUUCCCUCUCUGUGUGUUAGCAGGUCAAUGCAAGAGAGAAAUAAAGGCAUCUGUAUCCAAGCUAACCCUUUUACCGUGCAUAUGUGUGUGUGUUUUUUUGUGUGUGUGUGUGUGCUCAGUUUAUAUCUAAGAAACCGCACUCCUCCAGUUUCCUUUCAUCACUGCUGGAUUUCUCUGUAUUCUAGUUAUUUUGUGCCUCAAACUCCAGGAGCUCACGGAGCUAAAUCCAGGAUGACAUUUGAUACCCGGUUUAACAGAAGAAGAAAAAAACAGAGCAAGCAUCUGUGCAUCUUUAGAAACAGAACAACUCAUGUAUUUCUCAACUGAAACCCAGACUGUAGACUCCUACAAGAGGAGAUCUCUGCAAACAGGGAGGAAAUCAAACAGGCAAAUGCAUGCGUAUACAUCUAUCAGCCGUUACGUAUUCCCCCGUCCCCUCUUCCCCGCACUGUUGUGUGAUACAUGCAGCACUUCAUCAGAUCAAAAUGCCCCCACAAGCAGCAGAAAUGAGAAUGUAUUUCCAGUGUUGCCGUGGGCAUAACCUCAAGGUUCCCCAGAACUCAAUCAGCUCAAUGGAACAAGCUCAGUGAGUGGCGUUUGCUUUUAUCAGCGCAGACAGCACAGUUUAUAAGACGUGAAAUAUAUGAAGUCAUCAGCCGGCUGUGUACUGAGAGGCUCUUUACGCUCCCAGAAGCUGACACAUUAUAAUUAUCAUUGCACCCAGUGGUUUAAUAAGACUAAUAUCAAACACAGGUCUGAUGGGAAUAAUCUCAGAGUCAUCUGUGUUUAAGAAUCAGAUUUUUUUUAAGUGUCAGAGGUGAAGCUGCUGCUUUUAACCUUCGUUAAGUUCAAAUUUAAACAAAAGCAUCAUUCGUAUCAGACAAACUGUCGUGUUACACACCCUUCGAUAAUACUAUUGGCUUUAACUUAAAGGGAUAUUCCGUCGUAAAAUUAAUUUAGGGUCAAACACACCGUAACACUGAGUUAGACACCCCCUCCAGAGAUGAAUGUUGCCGAACGUUAGUAAUGACCACGACCGUAGAGUGGCGUUUUGGUUGAGGUUUGUUUUUGGCUUCUCAGACCUCUGUGUAUUGCUAUACUGCGGUCGUUACUAAAGUUGGUAUAACUAGAGAAGCAAGCAGUCGGCAACAUUCAUCGGUCAACAGGGUGUCUAACUCGGUGUUAGGAUGUGUUUGACCGUGAAUUAAUUUUACACCGAAUAUCCCUUUAAUAGUGAGUUGUAUAAGUGAUAUAAAAGACAGAUGCGUUGAUUUGAAAUUAUCCGGGUUAUGUUGGUGAUAGCAUUUAAGCCAUGUGUAGCUAGAGGAGCGGCACUUUGUGAUGCCAAGGAUAGAUGGUCUAAAUUCAGUCUGGUCCAUGUAGGCCACAACCGCAGAGUCUGUCAAAGGCUGCAGUCCCUUCACAGGAAUACUGCUGGUACUAAACAUAAAAGGUGCCCAUCAAGUCGGCAGUCGUGUUGGCUUGAAAACUUUCCCAUCAGCUUCAUCAGUCCAAGUGUCGUGACCAAGGACACCUCUGCAUAUGGAUCAAACCAUCGAGAGACAGACUACCACUGAGCCACAGCUGCCCGACUUUGAAAACUUUUAAAUUUGAUUUAAAUGGAAAAAUUACUAUUUAUUCAUCUUUGUGCCAAACCUUUUUAUGGUAGACUGCAAAAUCAAACUUGAGCAAAAACGAAAACGGUUAAGUGUCCUCUGGAAGACAGAAUGAUAGGAGGUCUAACGUCUCUCUCUCUCUCUCUCUCUCUCUCUCCAAAAUACAUAAACACAACAUGUCCUAAGUAUGUGAUUGAUACUACCACUAAACAAAGCCCCUACUUUUCUGUUGUCUGAAACUUGAUCACACUGCCCUCUAGUGUUAUAAAAAAUGAAGCCAGUGCACAAGUACAAACAAAUGCAGUACCCGUCAUGUCCACUUGGGACUGGCUCCAAAUAGCCAAGGCCACUCCCCCGAGGUGAUAUGCGAAGCUGAAUGCGGCCUGGUUCAAAAUGUUUUUGUCUAUGCGGCUCGUUCAUCUAAGCUGAUCCAAGGUUUCGUUUGGUCAGUAUUUCCACAAAGAAAUCUAAAAUCUAUGGAGUUUAUGGAGUUGUUGUUGUUGUUGUACACCGAAGCAGCUUCUCUGGGGUGGCAUUAAUUUUUUAAGUCUAGUGUCCUGAAAAGAGGCCACUCUCAUCAUUCCAUCACGGGUUAAAGGUAAUCAUUUACACCGACUCUGCAUUGAUUUUAAGAGACCUUUUCAUUCAAACCCUGCGAGUAAAUAUCCCCGCCACCAGAUCGGCUAACCUGUGCUUGACCCGUACAUCGAGCGCAGCAAAGAGGUUAAGCAUUCAAGUUUCCUUUUAUUUGUCACCAAUCUGUCUGAGCCCACGCUGUGUGUUUGUCAUCCUCUGCUUAUGUGCGUGAAAGAGGGACCGACGGCAAUCAUCCGGGAUGAGAGCGACACAAAGAAAAGGAGAAUGAAUAGUGUGUUUGUGUCUGAGUGUGUGUAAGAGAGAACGAGGGAGUCAGAAAGCGAGUGAGCGCAUGAGACGGAGUAUCAGAGUGACAAUAGCAUUUGACAGUUUAGCCCCAUGGUGUUUGAAUAUAAUGGCCUCUGUGUCGCUGGCUGCUGGCUCACUAUCUCACCUUUUGCUCUCAUACAUACCAAAUGGGCAGCUAUUCUUAUUCAUGCCCUGUGCAAACUGAGUGAGUCAAGGGCAAACAUGCUUAUGCAGGGAGGAGGAGGAGGAGGAGGAGGAGGAAAAGAAUUAAUCUAAAAAAGCAAGAAGAGUCUGGUUACAGCUGAGUGCAUUUAAUGAGUAUUUACGCCACCUAAUGAAAUGCAGAGUGUGAAAUGAAUGCAGGGGAAGGUGUUUGGGGAAUUCUGCUAGCAUAAACACGCAGCUGGUUUGUCGUUAAAGCCGGAGUGACUGUGCAACUCUGAAGAUGGGGAGACCAGCCAAACGUGGGGUUCCCUGUGUUGAAUUUCAGAGAGGAGAUUUCAGGAUUUUUAAAAAUCUUUUCAAAAGGGAUGAAACUAAGAGAAGAAAUAUGAUUUUGAUGAAAUCCAACCUGAAUCACCUCCAUGAAAUAUGGAAGAAGGGCAGUGGAGGGUUACCUUGCAGAUAGAUGAUUUGUGUCUUAAUGAAGAUUAUCUUCUCUGCUCUACUCCCAGGUGGCGUUCCUCAAGGCUCAAUCUUGGGUCCUCUUCUUUUUUAAUAUUUACAUCAUCCUAUGCAGACAGUUUAACUUAAAUCUCCUUUAUAAAUUAUAGAACAAGGGCAGUGGAGGGUUACCCUGCAGGCAGAUAAUUUGGUUCCCAGCAAAGGAUUAUCUUUUCUGGUGACGUUCCUCAAGGCUCGAUCUUAGUCCCUCUUUUUUUAUAAUUGCAUGAUCCUGCAUGUGUAACCUGACCCUAAAAAUAACAUCGAAUCAAUUUAUUAAAGUCCUGGAGAAAAUAAAUUACAACAUUUAGGUAUACAGCUCUGUGUUUCCACUACAUGCUACCCCAACUCCAUCUUUGACAAACAGCUCACUCAGUCUUUACACCUGAAUCCGUUGGACUCAUAAGAGUAUACAUUUUUAACUGAGCAUGUCUUGUCAGUCAGAAAUUAUUGGCAGAAAGUUUCCCGAUCCUGAAUUUUUGUUGCUUUUGAACACCUACAACACAAAGACUACUUCACCUCACACAGCAUUACUUCAUACUCUCUGGAACAAGAGUUUUGAACAAGUCCAACUCUCAUGAAAACCCAUCUUCUUGGUGUUUGAAGCAUGGUUGGCUGACAGCUGCACGACAGCUGGCUGACAUGCAGGUAUCUGUAAUGGGCCAAACAGCGGCUGCUGCGAUGUUUCAUACUUCAGCAGACCAUUAAGUGGGCCGAAGAUUGUCUUUCUCAGCUGUCUUUCUCCUCACUUUUCUCUCUAUAAACCAAGAAACUUUGGGAAUUUUGUUCUGCUACAAGAAACUCUACGACAUCUAAACUCAAAAAGUGACAAGCUGUGGGUUUAUUUUGGUCUUUAGUUUCCUUUUAUUUGCUGUUUCUGCUUUUGUUACCGAUCCCGUUGUUGCUUGAAUGACACAAAGCGCAGUUUUUUUCCGUCCUCUUUAAAACUAAGGUGGUAGAGCUUUGUUAUACUCAUUAUUUGAUACAAAGUUCCUGUUUUGCAUAAAUACUUUUAUGCCUAAUAAAGUUAUAUUUUCUUCAGACUGCAAAGUGUUUAAUUUUCCAUCCUGUCUCAGAAGCUGCACCACACUGACAUGAAUUAUUCCUCAGAGGGAAUGAUCAUUCAUCAUGAGCAUCUUAUUCCGGCUGAGAGAAGGCUGUAAUAUGAAACAUCUGGAUAUGCAAAUUGCUAACUACAGUUUUGACAUUAAGUGAGGUAGCAGUGCGUACAGAACAAGCCAUCCUGCUUCUCUGAACUGUGUUUCUCACACUUAUCGGCUGUUGUGCCUGUUAAAUAACAUCCAUAGUUCAGGCUGGGUGUAUCAGGGUGACAAAUCUUCAUAAUGUGGCAAACACAGACAUGCAUACUCAUUAAACAUGCAUGUGUUGAAUGCAGACUCUCGCACUUCUUGUGCUGCUCUUGCAAAAAACAAAACAAGACCAACCAAAAACAAACAGGAUCAACAUUGUCCAAGACAUGUACAGGUAAUCGUGUGUAUUGUUGUACUUUUGUAGGUCUUAUGUUGUUUUUUUUAAACUCUCAUUCAGUGUUUCACACCUAGAGUGACUUAACCUCACAGUCAUCUAAUUUAAACAAACCUUUCGUUACCUUAUAAACUUUAACUCAACUACACCAACACAAACUUAAAAACUAAACCGAACUUAUAUAACCCAACCUAACCUUUGACACAACUAAACCUCACGCAACCCAACCCAGCCUAAACAAACUUACCCCAACCUAUCCAUACUUAACUUAACCUAACCCAACCUUGUAUGAAUUAACCUAGUCUUAUACUCAACCAAACCUAACCCAAUCAUACCUAAACUAACAUUACCAAAUCCAACCAAGCCAAACCAAACUUAACCCGACCUUGCCUACCUUUUUUAAGCAAACCUGAUCUUAAGAUCAACCUUAACUAACCCAUACCAACCAAACCUGACCUUGUGCAUCCUGACUCCUGCAGCCCAACCCCAAACAAAACUAACCAAACCUCAACUAACUCAACACUACGUAACUUAACCUUAAACAAACAUAAACCUAACCUUAGCUAAGUAAUCUUAACCAAACCUAACCUUAUACUCUAACAAACCCAACCUAAACUAACCAAGCAUGACUCAACCUUACGUAACCCAUCUCAACCUGACUCAACCUUACUUUCCCUAACCUAACCUAACCUUUGAUAACCCAUCUUACCCAACCCAACCUUACAUACCUCAACUAACAAAACCCCGCCUAAACCAACCGAAAAUAACAACACCACAUCCAACAGUCCUAAACUGAAUCCAAACCAAUCUGACCUUAUCAUAUUUAAACCAACCUUAAACUUACACUCAUAUAGCCAAACCCAACCAAACCAAUCCUAACCUUGUUUAACCAAACCUGGCUUGACCUUGCCUAACCUUACUCAACCCAAUACACUAUCCUAGCCUAAACUGUACUUGGAUAACCCAACCUAACUAAACCCAACCCAAUCUGACCUCACCGUACCUCACCUUACCUCACUUUACCUAACCUAACCCAACCUAAUCUAAACUUAAAAUCAACCAAAUCUAACUUAACCCCCAAACCAAACUAAAAUAUCCAAACCUAACCCAACCUACCUAUCUAAUCCAACACAAUCUCACCUUGUCUAACAUAAACUGACCUAAUCUAACCUUACCUUAAUUAAGAUUAGCUCACUUAAAAUUACCUCACCUUGUCUAACGUAAACUGACCUAACCCUACCUGUCUCACCUCUAAGUUUUACAGGUAUUUUAGCUUCCUGUUGAACAUGAGGUUCCUUCAAAAGAAGACGUUUAGCUCAUGUGACCUUCAGCAAGAUCGUUGAUUUAACUUUGUUUUGACGGUGUUUCCCAGUGGUCGGGCAUCAAACUGCAGGAAAUCUGCAUUGACACUUUACCUUUGGAAAGGUGGAACAAAGCCUCUCAGUCAAUCUCAUCUGUGCUAAACAACCAUAUAAAAGCUGAUUGAUGGGCUCUGGUGAUUGCACCAUCAUUGGCUGCUGUCAUUGUUUCCCUUUUUUCCCCUCGGCUCGUCUGUUUCAGUCAGUUAAAGUCAGACUGUGUAUGAGACGAUGGGAGGAAGUGUCUGCAGGGUUCCACUCAUGACUGACAGCUGGUAGUUGCUGCUGUACAAAGAGUGGGCAGCCAGCUAGACGCACACACAGUCUGGGAUGUAACAGAUGAGCUGGUGUGUGUGUGUUUGUGUGUGUAAGGAUGAAUAGUUUUACUGUUUGCAAUCCCUGGACAGACAAUCCUGUAAGAGUAAAAUGCCCUCUUGGAUCAACCAGUUCUAGUACGUUCUGUGAAAUUGUUUCUGUUCCCUCUGAUACACAACCGAGGCUUCAGCCUUUACCUUCAACUUCCUUCUCUCCUCCCUGGUGCUGUCUGUUUAUGCUCUGGGUUAUUUCAUGCUAUACAAACCCUGUAAGCUGAUCUGUACAUGGAAGACGUUUCUCAGGAGAAGGAGAGAGACAAGUGGGAAAGUUUUUUCUUUCUUUUGAUAUGGUGUGUGAAGGUUGAUAGCUGAAAGGUGAUGCUAGAGGAUAAAGACUGUAAAACAUAGAAAGGGUGGCUGAACUGAGUAAAAGCUUUAGCAUCUGUGGGUUUCUAAAGAGGCAAGUUGAGAAGUGGAGCUCAGGUAGGCUUUUAUACUUCUGAAAACAGACACAGCUUAUCCAUCAGUCCACUCUGCCAUGUCCCUAACUAUACAUAUUCAUGUUUCACUAAUGUUCUGUAUUAUACUUAUGAAGGGAUUAAAUUAUUGGAUUUCCCAGAAAAAUCUUCAAAUCUUUAAUAUAUUACUGUUCAUGAAUUGGGGAACUAACCUGACAUUACCAGACCAACAGACCUCAGUGAGUAAAAGAGACUCUGGAAGUGACCGCACAGGUUAACGCUGAACUGGAGCAACAAGCAGAGAGAAGCAACAACAACAACAACAACAACAACAACAACAACCUGGUCAUUUAGGAGUCUUUCUGCCUUAAGGACCAUCCAUCCAUCCAUCCAUCCAUCCAUCUUUGAACCAUCCACACAUCUCUCAUCCAUCAAACCCUUCAUCCAUCCAUCCAACCAACCAUCUUUUAUUCAUCCACCAAUCUCCCAUCCAUCAUCCAUUUAUAUAACAUCCAUCCAUCCACCAAUCCAUCCAUCCACCAACCUUUCAUUCAUCCAUCCAUUCAACCAACCAUCCAUCCAUCUCAUCUUUGACCUAUUUGCAGAUCUCUCAUCCAUCAAACCCUUCAUUCAUCCAUCCAUCAUCCAUUCAUAUAUCUUCCAUCCAUCUCCACCCGUCUUUCCAUUCAUCCAUCUGCCUUACAUACCAUCAGUUCAUCCAUCCACCCACGCAUCCAUCCAUCCAUCUUUCAUCCCAUGUUUGAACCAUUUGCAAGUCUCUCAUCCAUCAAACCCUUCAUGCAUCCAUCUUCCAUCAAUCAUCCAUUCUUAUAUCUUCCAAACAACAUGUUGAUUAGGAGGAAAGACAGCGGUACCACCAAUGACAAACGAAGAAAACAUACAGUUUUGUUCGCCCAGCAGGAUAAGGCCCCGUCUGCCAGAUGGACUCUACAGCCCCCCACUGUGCAGAAUCUGAGCCCAGCUGGUUAUUAUCAUCUUAUCAAACCAGUUUCAUCCUGCAGCAUCCACAACAGCAACAAGGUGUUUUCAGUGUAAAGAGCCGCCCCUCUUGUAUUUUCAAGAUUUUCCACCGUUUCAACUCCAAUUAGGAUGUUUGAUCAACACAGCAUGGACGACACUUUUCAAGUGGAAAUUAUCCAUGUCAUAUUGCACCCCAGCUCUAUUUAUGGAAAAGAUGCGUUGUCUGAUAUUUGUAGCUGUUAUGAUUUCAUGGAAACGAACUGCAGGAAACUACAAUUUCUACAACAGCAACAGCUCAAAAUGCUGGUUAAAUAAAAAUGAAAUAUACAAAAAUGUGAGAGCAUUAGUGAGAAUUUCUGAGACUCAGAUUUAUACUUUCUAACUCAACUUUAACUCCAAAAGAGGUUUGCACACACACACUCACACUAAGCUGAACUGCACUUGAGCUGCCCUCCACUGCAGCUCCAACAUUUAAGCAGCAGCUCGGCAAAACACUUCUCAUUUCACAGGCCACUUCAGCUGAGUGCAUUAGCCAAUCAGACCCUUUUAUAGAAUAUGUUUGCCCUUGCACAUGACCAGAUACCUAGGGUGCUCCAGCUUCACCCCAAAUCAUCUUACAACCAACAGCUGGAGGCAUGGAUUCAGAGGGGAAUGGACAUAGUUACGAUUGAGAAACAAAUGCAUAUUUAAUACAGAAUAGGUAAUCGAAAAAAAAACAACAACCUUUAAAAGAGACAGAAAAGCCACAGUCAAUCCCAAGUUUGACAACAACAACUAAAUUAAAGCGACAAAGAGGGAUCAGUUUGAGCUGAAAACAGAGAGUCCACUCAAACAGCAGAGAACAAAAGAGGAGAAAAGUCACCGAUGAAGGGUCUGAAUUAAAUCAAUCGGUGAAUCAAUUCAGAGUCAAGAAUGAGCCCGCAGAAAGAAGAAACAAACCGGCACCAGUUAAGGUGGGAAUCUGAAAAUAAAGGACAUUAGGUUUUAAAGACAAGCAGGCCGUUAUGAAGAGAGACGGCGUGUCAAAAAGGAAAGAACAAACUCUCAAGUCAGAGUGGAGGACAAUAAAGAAAAAUAGAGAGAGCAGAAAUGGAAAUGGAGGGGAUGCAAUCGGCCGACUUCAUCAGAAUAUAAAAUGUGUCGUGGUCGACAAAGAGAGAGAAAGAGAGGUAGAGUGAGAGAGAGAGAGAGAGAGCGAGAGAGAGGUUCAGAAACACAGUGUCAGAGGUCGUGGAGGUGACUCCACUGUCGCCUUCGAUUACAGCCCAGAGCCGAGCUGUUAGCUGGACUCAUAUGCUGCGCUGACUAAACCAUUACUACCACCAUUAAUCACAGCCUCACGUCCAUUUAGAUCACGGGCCGCAUUGAACAGCAGAGGAAGGGACAAACACAGACUUUCAAAGUAAGAGUCUAAUGUUGAUUCUUUUUUAGGAUGUGGUGAGUUUACAUGUUUCUGAUUCUAUAGAGAAACACUUAAACACACCACGGUGAGUCCUAACUUCACCCCUCAGGAAAUGAAGGUAUGAUCAGUUUGGAGGAUUCAGGGUUUAAACAAGCAAGUGUCAUCAACUUUAGUGAUAUAAAAGUGAAUAACAGUGUAAGAACAACUUGGACUGAAACCUAAAUCCUGACCAGAAUCAGAGGACACCAAAAUCAUGAUGAGCCGACGUGUUAAGCAGCAAUAAUAAAUAUGUAUUAUUAUAAAGUUUUUACCACUAAAUUUGUCAAACAAUGCAAGUCCUUUAUGCACAACUCAAAAACGAGUCUUCAUCGUCUUCUAACAGGAACAUUUCGCAUGUCUUCUCACUGAAUACAGGACAGGAUUUUAACAUUUCUCAAAGUGCUUCGGAGACCAGACCAACCCCCCAGUUUUGUAAAUAUUACCCACCCAGGCUGAAUGUGUGAUAAUAUGACUUAAAACCUCUUAUCUGCUGCUGACAAACUGUACCUGUGUGCCGUGUAGUUUUAGGCGGGUACUUCAGGAUGAACUCUGCAGUCGGUGUUGUUGUUUGAUACCUAGCCAGAGGUAGUAUUAGCUACCUGUGUAAUCCACUUAACAUGGGUAUUUGCUGUGUGAUAUAUCUAACUUAGCCUGUGGUAGCAAACCAGAUACAUGUGGGAAGUUUGGUUACUGCAAUCAUAAAUAAAAGUGUUUGAGGAGGGGAGCUGUUGUACUUCAGGUUACUCUGCUCUCUGUGCUGUUUAAAUCAGGGAAUAGAAAAUCAUUUAUGAUGAAAGUAUAAGUGGAAAGAGAGGCACAAAGUGUAGCUGGGAGGCUGCAAAAGACUCCAUUAUCGGCAAAUUCAGGGUAACAUAAAUCACUGCUAUUCUCUGAUCUCGGUUGUAGUAGAUCUUUGGUGGUGGUCUCAUUUGAAAGGUCAGAAUAACAAACACAGGACUUUCUCCUCAGAGGCCUAAAUGUAAGUGUUAAAGUCAGCAUGUGCUCCUUUUGAGUUAUGUAUUUAAUGUUACUUAUGUACAGUACAUUAAAUCACCUGCAAACAUUCGAUGAGUUGUGAGACGUGCUCAGAAAAACAGAGUACUCCAUCGUCACUUUUUUCACCUCUUCCUCCUUUGAACCUCCGAUGUGUUUGUUUUCCAGAUUUCAGUCUCCACACGUUUCCCACAUCAAUAACCUCAUUUCAUUUUUCCUCCCAGCAUGCCACAUUGUUUGCUUUUGUUUGCAGUACACAGCUUGAAUAGAUAGCCUGCCUCUUUUUUUCUUCCGCCUAUACCUGGAGCUCAUGGAUCUCCCACUGACUCUAUUAUAUCCACUCCUGCCUGAUGAUAUAGCUCGGGGAAGUGUUUUCUAUAAAGUACAGACUGUAAUGUGCGCUGAGCCCAUCAUGCAGUGUGUGCGGUUUGUGCCUUAUAACUUUAUUUUCUGAAAAUGUGCGGGUUCACAAGUCUCUGCAUAUCAACAGCUAGAGUGACUGUGCGAUUGUAGAUGAAACACCAGAGAAUUGACACCUAAUGAGUGGAUUUAUGUAGCUGCUGCUUCAACGCUGGAUAAUUAAAGAGGUACUGAGUUCACCAUUUACAAAAACACGGUCCUUUUUAGUUACAUUUGCAAAAAUCCAGAGUCUCAGGAUUGAAAUAGUCUCACAUUUAGCGGCCUUUACAGUGGUAUUAUUUAAUCAAAUUAGUCAAAGUUAAAAAGAUGUUUGGUGUCUAGUACUAUGUCUGUGACCCUAUAUGUUCUGUUGAUGAAGUUAGGUGCUGUUCUGAGCAUUAUUUGUGGCUAUAGAGUGGCGUUUUGGUUGAGGUUUGUUUAUGGCUCCUUAGACCGCUGUGUUUUGCUAUCCUGCGGUUGUUACUAAAGUUGGUAAAACUAGAGAAGAAAGCGGUCGGCAACAUUCAUCUCUGGAGGGGGUGUCUAACUUGGUGUUACGGUGUGUUUGACCCUAAAUUAAUUUUACGAUGGAAUAUCCUUUUAACGCAAAACUGUAGUAUUUAUAUUUUGUUUGAUUUGGCUGCAAACUUACUGAUGAUAGUAGUUAUUUUAAGGUAAAAGUACAUUUAAAUGCACACACAGUGAUAAUGUCUGUUUGGGAUGUGAUGGAUGACGAUAAACAAACAUAGGACUUAUCUGAAAGUAAAGGUCUUUGCUCACCUUUGCUGCCUACUGCAGGUUCAAUUACGGUUACCUGGUUCAGGAGCAAACAGACAGAUCUUUUUUUUCCAAGUCUACCGAACCUUGACCUUCUGUUCUGGUAACCACGUCUAAAUUAGUAGCUAUCAGAAAGCGUUUUUGAGUUGUGCUGAAACGUAGGAUCAACCUUCCUACUCGUGCUGGUUGGGAACUAAAACUAAACUAAAACUAAACUAAAACUAAACUAAAACUAAACUAAAACUAAACUAAACUAAAUUUCCUUUGAUUUCUGCAGGAUUGCUUUCUGAGGACAUUUGGAAUCAGCCGCUCCUUUCUCUCUUUGCAGCUGAAGAGUUUCAGUGACCCUGAAUCACCAGUUAUGGAUUUUUUUUUCUUGCUUCUUUUAGGUAAGAAAAUAAAAUCCUUGAUAUCAAAGAGAAAGACGAAUAUUGGAGAAGAAGGAAAAGCUUGUGUGAUGUGUGAGUAUGUUUGAUAUGGACUUGCUGUUUCUUCUGAAGUUGCAUGACGUGCCCUUCUGUCUGAUCUGGGUUAUAAAGAUCUGCUUUACUAUCUUCAAAAUAUUAAACCGACCUCCCGAGGGAAGAUCAGUGAUGUUCGGAGAGUUUCUUGGUUGAUCUGUAACCAUCCUGUUGGCUCUGACUCACAGCGAGGGGCUGAAGGCAGCAGUUCCCUGGGGGAGCGCCCGGCCUGUCAAACGGCUGUUUCUCGUGUCAAAUAACAGACACUUUUCAUCCUCUGCUGCUCUUUUAUGUUCCUCUCCGAUGUUUGGAAAUCAAACACAGAUGUUUCUCAUGGCACACCAAUCAACCAACAAAAUGUUUUUACCCCAAACAUGGUUUGAUUUGUUUUUCAGACUUCGACACAAACUUUUACUCUGUCACUCAGCUUUUGCUGACUUUCCUUUUCUUCUUGGUAAUAAGUUUUCAAUUUUCGGUAAAUCUUUGUUGUUAUCGGUGAUGUGCUGAGAAACGCAUGCCUGUCAAGAAUUGCUUGUACCUUGCAAAACGCGCACCGGUUAUAGAAGAGUGGUCCACGGAAAUGUAAAAUUUAAAACCCGUACAAUUCUUAUUUGUGGGGCUAAACUGUGAUGAGUAAUGUUCUGAAAGUAAUUCUCAGUGGGUAUGCGUUUCGCAGCGUAACACAAGCAGAGCCAACGACUGACUCCAUGUACAGGGGCGGGGUUUCCUCCUCUCUGAUUUUGAUUGACGGCUGGCAGAGUAGUCUGAUUGGCAACUGAGUAAAGAACAAAUGUGAUUGGUGGAUCGCUGCACAGCACAUCCAGAGUCACAUGCAGUGUUUCUCAGUCAGCUACCCUUGAACUGAGAUGAGUUCAUUUACCUCUGACACCGCAGGCUCUGCAAUGUGACUAUCACGCACACGUACAUCGCCAUGACGAUGCUCAAACGAUAUAUCGUGCAGCCCUAUGCUCAACAUACGUAUUUAUUUCACCAAACAUGUAGGUACACACACAUGAAUCUAAAUUAAAUAAAUAAACAAAAUACUGUAGCAUCACAUGACUGACAAUGACACGAGACGCAAGCUACACACACACACACACACACACACACACAAUAGCUAGACAAAGGUUACACACACACUCUCCCCGACAACCCGGUCAUGACUCCAACUCACCCAAAAACAUCUUUGUCCACCACAUCUAAAAAUACAGCGAGUUAGGGGAUUGAGAAUAUGACGUCACCUGCGUCUGAGCAGGGCGCCGCACAGCCGAGGAAACAGAAACUUAAACAACGCGACUAAACAAAUUUGUCUCGUUUUGUUUUAGUCAAUGAAGAUUAAGAGACAUUUUAGCAGAGAUUUUAUUUUGUGACCCACAUUCAGUCGCGUUUUUAUUCGUCAACAAUAUUGCGUUACAUAUGUAGUUAUAGUUAUCAUAACAAGACCACCAUUUAAGUUUGGUCUCGUCUCGUUUUUGUCACGUAAGGUUCAUUGAGGACGUUACUCGUCAUAAUUUUCAUUGACGAGAGCAACACUAGACUGAAACUGCCAAAAGUGAACUCAAGAGGCAAAAUACAGACUUUAGUUUCAGAAGGGCUGUUAAACGACUGAAUCCUGACCUUUGACCUCACAGUAAGGUUCAAAGACAAACGUGAAAACUACUCCCUGACUCAGUUUAGCUCCGGUCGGGUUGAAGAAACCCCCGUUCACCCACAGAUACCUGCUCCCCAAAUUACAGAAUGAUGAACUGUGUGAAGCCGUGCGACAAUGCCUCACUUUCAGAUUAAUCAUCACCAACAUGAACGGUGUGAGGAGCAGCCCGUGUGCUUUAUUCAAGAUUUAUCAAACUCUAAUUACCAAACUCCAUGUUAAAAUUAAUCAGAGUAUAAUUAAAACAUCAAUCUUUAAAGGCUUUUCCUGCUGCAGUCUAUCAGUGACACAGCACCAUCUACGGAUGGAGGCGAUUACUCAGUCUGGGGUUUCUGGAGCGGGAAUUCAAUCAGGCUGCUUUCAAAAACUCUUUUAUUUCAGCCUCUGAAAAGAUCCUGUUUGCAUAUUUUCUCUGGUUUUUAUGAACUCUCCUUUAGAAAUGAGCCCUGAUAUUCUCUUGCAGCCUCUUUUCUAAAAGGAUCUGAUCGUUUUUGUCCAGGUUUGCUCCGACUAACCUUAGUGUGGAUGUAAGGAAGCCCAGAGAGGCAAAGAAGGGGGAAAAAAAUUGUAGUUUGGGGAAAGUUUGGCUCUUUUGGACUGAGGCAAAGUAUAACAGCUGGCUAAAGAGCUUUGACACAACAUUUGACAAAAUGCUGGAUAUAAAGUUACAGUUAACAGUAAAGAACAGUAAAUCUAAAAACAAACCAGUGAGGUUUCGCUGCAGCCAGGUUAGGAGAGAGAAAGUCCAGAUCAGAAGGUCUAAAUAGACUCAGCCUGACUGACUUUGGAUUCAUGCAGCGAGGGAGGCAAAAGUUUAACGGUUGCAUCCUUGACUUGCAUCUGUCCAUGCGUCUGAAUCACUCCAGCCUUGUGAUGGGCACGGCAGUUCUUUUAGAUGUACUGAAUCACUCGAAAGAUUCGUUCAAAAGAUUCGUUCACCAAAUCGCCGAAUCAUUUAGCGGGAGGAGCCUGUGACUCCGACCUCCUGAACUGAUUCACAGCUGAACGUUAAGGAUUCAGUUCAGUCGUCCGCUUCUGGGACCGGGAGAAGAGAGUGUUUAUCCGUGUUUCUUUGGCAAACAGGUUUGUAAAAACGAACUUGUAAGUCAUGAUGUUUGACGUGUCCUAUGGUAUGGUAUUUAUCAGGUCUGCUCGGUAAAUUGGGCUUCGUGAGUGAUUCAUUCACUGAACUUUUAGAAUAAUUCACACUGAACCGUUCCCUCGCAAACCGCUGCAAUGAUAGGAUGCUGUGGGUUUACCUUAUUACAUGCUGUGUCCUAUUGUAUGCAAGUUGUUCUGGUGGAGAUUUAGCAGUAAAAAAAAAUGGUAGUUUUGUCUCUGAUUCCAGAGAGUAUAGUUCAAUGCGUGAUUCGUUCACCAAGUGAUUCAGGCGUUGGUGCAUGUGGUCCCCUGUUCACCGGCUGCUCACUUCUCACUUCAGCUCAACUGAAGAGAGAAAUGAACGAAUCACUCGAGGGAGUAAUUCCAUUCCGUUCAGUUAAAAGAUUCGGUUCUUUUGAACGAAUCGUUCGCAAACAACACAACACUACUCCAGCCUGAGGUGCAAGAAAAGGAAGAGAAAGAGCGAGGUGAUGUUUUUAUGUUUUGCUGCUGCAUUUGUCAAUGACUUGAUAUGGAGGCAUAUCUGCAAGUUAAAAGACCUCCAUGAAGGCCACUCUUGUAUAUCCUCACUUGUUUCUCUGCAGAUGUCUGUUCUACGGUGGCCCUGAGGUGCAAAUCAGAAAACACAACAACAAAAAGAGAAAACACAACGGCAAAUCAGAGCUGCGGUCAAGCCAGUAAACGUUCCUUUUUUUCUGUGGUCAAAUUCUUCAUUUACUGUUUCAAGCAUCUUAAUUUGAAAACCAGGCGUCCUAAUGGUGUCUGCUCGCUCGUUCAAGAUCAUUUGAAUGAAUUUACCGUAAAGGUUAGAAUACAAGGGUAUGCUAAUUUUAGUGUCUGUUAGUUUGCCCAUGGAAAAACGAACCACAGUUCUGGUUUGUCGUUGUAUUUUCUCUUUUGCCGUUGUGUUUUCUGAUUUGUUGUGUUUUCUGAUUUGCCGUUGUGAUUUGCACCUCAGGGCCACCAUACCAUCCUCUCUCCUCCAUCCUCUCAUAUCAGAGCAGAAGCAGCUUUAAAAUGCUCCUCAUCACGGCCGGUGUGUACGACUUCCAGCUCGACUGUGGAGUUAUCAUAUUAGAGCUUUAAUACCUUUAUGAAUUGAGCAGAGGGAAACAGCGAUAAAACUGUGCACUUGUGCCAUACGUAAAUACAGGUUUCCUUUCUUUCCUUAGAGGAAUCACACUCAUCUUGCAGUAAAAAUCCUCCUGCCAAUUUACAGUGAAGUGUUACUUCUCCAGGACCAUUUUGAGAUAAGUGAUGGUAGUAAAUGCUAAACACCCGAAUCUGUCCCUGGUUUACUUCCAGGCCUGCACGGCAUCUGCAAUUGACUCAAAUUAAAUCAAGCCAGUGUGAUGUGUUGUUCAAACUUCUUCAGCCUGACAAAGCACGCCUCUUGGAUGAUAAAUCGAGCUGCUGAAAACAUCUAAUUUGUGAAGCUGCCUGCUCCCCAAUUGAAAAGCAAUCAAUACACCCAUUAGCUCCACUGCCAUUAGUUUCCAAACAUGUGAGCACUUUCCAAACGGCCUCGGAGCGAAAAGUCAUUCGGGCAAAUAUUUGUAGACAACCAUCGUCUUCCACUCACCGGGAUCAUGCUGCAGGCUACAGCGAACCGCAGAAAGACUUAUUGACUUUCAAUGAGUUUUUCUUCCUGUAAUGUUGUAAAGCUCCCAUUAAUCACACGAUGCUGAGCCCUCGGUUCAUACUCACGUAAGACUGUCUACAGUCUCUGAUGCAGCUGACGGUUCCUCUCCUUUUUUAUCUUUCCUUAGAGCUAAUUAUUUCUUCUUAUAACCAUGCAUGUCUGUAAUCUUUAUCUCCCUCAUGGUUAUCGGGGAUUUCUCUGCUCCCUUUGACUCUUAAUAUCUCCUGCAAAGAUUUAGUGACUCGGUUCGCCGAUGUUUGAGAAGGUUUGUAUUAGGCCUGGGCGAUUUGGCAAAAAAAAUGAUCACAAUAUAUUUUGUUGUAUCGUCCGAUCUCAAUUAUUAUCACGAUUUUUUUAUCAGAAGAAACUAAAGAUUAGUUCAACAUUUUAUUAACAUACAGAGUAAAUAUCAAAGAAAAUUGAAUAAGACAAACUUAGAAAAAAAUAAAAAACAAUUUAACUCAACAACAAAUAUAGAUAAAUACUAAAUAAUACAGUGAAUUAGUUUACAGUCCAGAGUGUUUCUGCAGGUAUACAAGACCCAAAAUAAACAAACUGCCCCCCUCAGAGAUAAUAAAGACGCCUCAAAAUGUAAACAUUAGAUGAUGUAAACGUAAACGUUUUGCUCUGGUGGCCGCACCGCUAGUUGUGGCUAAUCUGCUAAUGCUACUUGUACCGUCAGCAAUGACAGGCUGUGACAUACCUUACACAUCGGCUUAUUACUCGGCGUCACUUUGGAGAUACCCGCACCACCGCCACACAACCGACGUUGAAUAACUUCUCAACAACAACACCUUUGGAGAAUAACUCAAAGUCACGGCUGACAUCUAUUUUGCGUCCCUCAGCGCCGCGUUUAGCUCCACGUUCGGUCAUUCUGUUUACUUCUCCGACAACUUUCAGAAGUGAGCAGGAAAAGCUCGACUCUGAUUGGCUGUUAUGACACACAUAUUUGAUCGAGUAGAUAUGCUCACAGGUGAUCACCGUAAUCGAACUGAAAUUUCUCACGAUCAUAGAAUCGCCCGGUCCUAGUUUGUACUUCCUCUUUGAAAAUGAUGUCAUUCUAUCUGAUCUGAAUCCUAAACAAGCCUUAAAACUCCAAAAGGUGAUUAAUCUCUCCUGCUUUAAAAACUCAAACUGAAGUAACGAUACCCGUAAAGACACCAGCUGAAUAAUUCUGUUGCUGCAAAGUUCAGAGGAGUGAAAAAUGCGACUUCAUCCAAUUUGCAAAAAGUUAUUUGACUUUAUGUUUAAUGCAGGAGUUUUAAUUAUUUGGUGCCUGUUUUUAAUUGAGCCGUCCAUAACAUGAGGGUAAGUGUUUCCUUCCUUGUGUGGCGUCACAGUUUUGUGUUUUUCCCCAGAGACUCUCUCUGUUUGUCGUCCUGUUUGCUCCUCGAAUCCCUCUGAUUUCAUCCAUGUCAGAGUUCGUACAUGUUACAGGAGCACAGUCGACGACACCCACGUCUGAAUGAAGUGAUUCACUCCUGCUCUGUCUCAUUAGCGUGGACUGAAAACAGCCAAAUAGCCCCACAUCACCUCCUUUUACCUUCCUCCUCCCUCUCCUCCUCCUCCUCCUCCUCCGCUCGCUCCGGCUCUUUCUCUUCCAGGACUUGAUUUCUAUAUUUUUACUGUUUUGUUUUUACGAGAGUAUUGUCCCCUCGCCCUCCGUAGAAGUGAUGUCCUGGGACUUUUUUUACGAGUACAUUCCCAGUUUUAUAUGUGUUGCAUUUUUUUCCAGCCCCUCCAGAUUAGGCCGAGCGAUCUCAUUGGCCACGGUGGAACCUUGCCCCUCCCACUUCUGUGAUGCUGCAUAAGGUGACAUAGCAACAGCUGCUGCAUGCUGCUCAUCAAUCAUAUGUGGCUGCUGAUGCUCCCUGUUUUCGGCUACGUGUCCUUAAUGCUAAACGUGAGCCGUGUGUGUCUGAAGCUCGGUGCGGGGACAUAAAGAGUUUUAAAAGAGACGAUAAAUCUGCAUGGAAACGAGACGACGCUGCCAGAGGACAGUGGCUAAUGUUGACGGAGAAUCUGUAGCGCUGAUGGUGAAGUUAAUGACUGUGGUCAUUACAGGAGGGUUCGGUUCAUACCCGGGCGGACGUGUUCGGAUAGCAUGAAUAUGUAUGACCAGACAAACUCACCCAGAGGCUCCGUCCUGUCGCCAGAAGCGUCAGAGGAAACACAUUUCCUGUCUGGCCCGGACUCACUUCUCAUCCUCCAUCUAAAAAAAAAAGGAUAUUAUCAGAGAUACUUCCUCUCUCCUCGCUCCAUCUCCUACAAACUCUGAACAAGAAAUCAUCCUCGAAGGUCUCCUCCUUCACUUUUUCAAUCUUUAUUGUUUUCUGCAUUUACACUCACAUUACAGUCUCAUUACAGUCAUCUCUUUAUCUCUGCAAAACUAAAAUCACUUUUAUACUUUCUGUGUUUUUACUGAAGUUUUGAACAAUCCACAUUUUCACCUUUCAGACAAUUUUGAUCAAACUAGAGCAUCAGAUUUUCACCUCAUGAAAGUCUAAAUAACAAUCUUACAGAGAUGUUUAUAGAAAACAGCUGGUCGAGAUGCACUUGGUGAAUCCUUCCAGGUCUUGGAUUCAGAGUAGACCAAUGUUAAAUAUCAGUGUUUGGUUUUGACUUCAUUGUGAGCCGUACAAAUGUUUUAAAAAGCAUUAGCAUUAAAAUUUAAAAUGAUAUCUGAAAUGUCUGGGUUUACAUUACAAUAGGUGACCAUACGUCCUCUUUUUUAGAGGUUGUCCGGCCUUGUCCGGGGGGAGUUCAUAAAAUCCUUUAAAUGUCCGUGGUUUUGUAUGAAAGUUUUGAGUUUGUGUUGUGUUGACUAACUGAGUUAGAAGCAUGUAAAAAACACUCGAUCUGACUAGAAAAACCCUCAAAAUUUACUACGGUGACUCCGCAACUCUGCCCCAUGUAGUAGUGUCCACUUUUUGGGGAUUCAGAAUAUGGUCACCCUACGUUACAAAGUUAGCUGGUUAGACUGCAGCGUUGUUUCUGCAACUGAUAAGUACCCGACUAUGGAGACCUGAACCAAGAACCAAGUAGUUCCAAAAUGUUUUCCACCCUCUCGUCCAAAUUUGUAGCUCCAAAGAAAUGAUAUUUUCCCAACCACAGAGUUAAACUCUUGGCUCACUGUCGUAGAUCGUCCACAAACUAAUGUGAGUCAGCUGUUUUAAAGGUAACGGAGCGUUAUUACCCAGGCUAGCUUUAAACCAACAAGAUAAACGGCUCUGAGCGAGUGUUACAUGUUCAGUCUAUAUCCUUUAGAAGACGAAGAGUCUCUGGUGUGGCGUCUGCAGACAGACCGCUGCUGUUGAUGAACCUCCUCCAGCCGUCCACAUCAGACCACGGGCCACUUCAUGAAUAAAUGAAGCCACUGAGGGUGACUUAUGUUGCCCGGAGAUUCAGCUCGGCGUGGAGGAGGACUCGGGGCUCGCUAUGUUAAUGUCCUCUGUAUAGAUUACACUGCUUACUAAUUCAUGCAGGAGGAGGUAAUUUAUUGGGCUUUCAUGGAGGUCCCCAAUGGGAGAUAAAUGCUGUCUGUCCAGCCCUCUGCAGGGACCUCUCAGGAUUCAUCAAUUGGAGGCUAAAUUGGUUUUUACUGGACUCCAUAGGGAAUCCUUUAUAGAUGGGUGAGCUCCGGCGGACUACUGCACUAUACUCACCCCCUGGCAUUGCAAACCGGCGUUUAAUCCAUGAAUAUUUAAUGUAUUCCUGUCUCCAUACGCUCUGACAAUAAGCUCCAUUUCCCAAAUCAAAAGCAUGACAGGACACCAAAGGCGUGGAGGUCAGAGGUCAGGCGUACAGCGCCCUGAUGGCAUACUGCAAAUUUUCAGAUGACCUAACAGCGACCAGGAUGAUGAGGAGGGGUUUGCGUGAGAAGAAGCAGAGCGAGUAUGAAGUAUGAAGAGCGAGUCUCUCUGUGCUGCAGGGAUUCAUGUAUUUUUAUUCUCGCUCUGUGACAGUGAUGGGUUCAGCAAAACAUACAGAUCGUGUGAUUGUUGACGUGUGACCUUUAAACUGUGGGAGGUAUCGACUGCAGCACAGAGCGUCAGUCACGCCAUAAAUCAGUCAAUACAUGUGACUGUACACGACAUUACUGUACACUUAUGAUAAUAUCACAUUAAUAAACACUCUCAACCCCAAGUCCACUCCUCCAGGUCAACGUCUUCAAUCUCAACACGGUCCAGUUCUUCUAUCAGGACAGGAAAUGAACCAUUUCGGUCAUGUGAGCUCCAGUGCUGCUGGUCCAAUGGUUUCCUCUCUGUGGACCAGCUUUGGUAGAUACUAGGAAUGGGCACGAUUAAUCAAUGAUCGAUUAAUUGAUCAUUAAGAAUUACGUGCAUCAUGCAAAAUUCCGAUCGAUCUACUGUUAUGAAAAAAGGGCAGACAGCGUGCGUCCUUCCUCCAGCUGCUUUCCAGAAAAGAUCAACCUCUUUUGGACGACCUGUCCUCGGCUAAAGUCGUCCCCGGAAAUGUCCCCGAUUUUAGCGUUUCAUGAAUGCGAAAAAAACAACGAUUAUAACGGUAGCUGGGCAGAUACGAAGCGCGGGUGAACAUGUAGAGCGCAGUUUAGAACAAACAGUUUGGAGGGGGGGUAUUUCAAUGGGGAAAAAAUGAUUUUUGUGUAUUUUCUACCAUUCACAUAAAAAAACAAUCAAAUCAAUGAUUGAUUAUUAAUUUAUAUGAUUAAUUGAUCAAGGGACUUUCUUAAAAUGCCCAUUACGAGUAGAUACUGAUCACUGCGGACUAUAAAUAUCCCACAAGAGCUGCAGAUUUGGACCCACGAUGACCCAGUCCUGACUCUUGUCGAAGUUUCCUUACGUCCUUCAUGUUUUUUUCUUUGCUGUCUCGUCCUCCGUGUCCCUCCUGUACGUCUCUGAAUUCCUCUAUCUGUGCACGGCUUCCUUUACCCCUCUCUCCUACGAGCUGAAGUGAUUACACCUGCACCUCAUUACCCGAUCAGCUCUCUCCAUAUGAACUCCUCCAAUCUUUGCCUAAUUGUUCUGUCAGCUGCAGUCAUAGACGUGUGUUUGGACAAACACAGUCCUCACUCACUCACUCUCUCGCUCCCUGAACUUAGCUAACACGCUCUGCUUCAGAUAAUCCUGCUCCUGCCUAUCUGGUCUGCACACUCCUCAGCUCUCACCUGCCUGCACACUCUCUCCGUCUCCAUAUCUGCUCUACAUCUCUGUCCCACUCGAGCCGCUGCAACACCUGCCAAUCUGUUCCUGCUGCAGCCCGUCAUCCCCCAAACCCUCCUCACAUCGUGGUCUUCUUUCUGGUCCACUCAGAGUCUCAGAGCUGCACUUAUAUGUUCCACCUUGAAGCUAUGUCGACAUUCAUUGCAUGACUUUCCAAUGGGCUAGCAGCUAUCGGGGUCUAAUUAUCACUGUUAAAAAUGGUAAAUACAUUUUUCACUUGGUUCCUCUGGCUGACAUGUAACCAUAGUAACUUAACGAUGUCUUGCUGAGCCAUCAGUCUCACAUUUUAGGACCUCACUGACUCUGGGCUUCAUCUAAAUCAGUGUUUUUCAACCUUUUUUGAGCCACGGCACAUUUUUUACAUCGACAAAAUCCUGGGGGACACCACCAACCAAAAUGACACUCUGUAGCCUAAAACAGUUUAUAUUAUAGACUGUAGAGAUGCACCAAAUGAAAAUUCUUGGCCGAAAACCAAAAAUGAGGAAACCAUGACCGAAAAACAAAAGAAACUAUCACGCUGAUUAUUAGUACCAUUGCAUUUAUGGCUAUGACUGUGUGGUAAUGUCACUAAAAUCAAGGCAGUGCAAUUGUAUAAAUCAGUAUUAAUUAACGUUAAAAAUUAAAAUGAACAUUCAAUUCAUAUUAAUUUAUGCAACUGCAAUGCGAGGUUUGAGUUUUUGAGUCAGCAUGUUGCUGCAUGUUCUGUGAUGUUUACACCUUUGGAUGGCGCCCACGAGUCAGGGGCAAAAACAACUCCAAAGUUUUAAGAUAGGAAGUGUUGUGAGCGGUAGAGAGCGGCUAGAAGAAGUAAAUUCAGCGUGUUUACAUUAAAGCAGGUGAGAGCAGGAGCUGAGCAGGAGUCUGCAAUGUUGAUUUCUGUAAAAUCUAUCAAUAAAAGUACAAAGAAGUGAAACUUCCUCCAGAGUCUGUUUGUGUGAUCGACUGCAACAUCCGCCACAGACAGAGUGGGCGUGCUCAGAGGGAUUUUCCCGUUCUGUGCGGCGUUCCUCUCAUAUUCAGAGUGAUGAUUGGGAUGUUUGGAUAUCAGGUGAUAAAUUAAACCCGACGCAAAGAAACUCUCUGCAGACGCACCCCUUCUUGAAAUUUCAGCAUUACACGCCAUGCCGAUCGCUCGCCAUAGUUCUUAGAUACAUUGAAAUACCUCCACACAGCAAACACGUUGGCUCUUUGCGCAUACUGGUCGCGGUUUUUGCUUGCUUGUGCUUGUGGCCGUGUUGUUUAAGUUAGAAAAGUGUUAUGGCUGAAAACCAAAAAUGCACGUUUGGGCCAUUUUCAGUAGCCGGAUUUUCGGUGUGUCCUUAAAUUAUAGUUGGUAAUAUAGUUUCUAAAUUUAUUUAUACUCACUCAGUGUGAACCCUGUCCCUGUUUACAUGAACACAAAGCUGAUAUCUUGGCAGGAAUGGAAGAAAGACACACACUAAGCUCUUCAUGAACAGCUCUCAGUCUCUCUCUGUUUUUAGUUUUUUUUACAGGCUAUUAACCGUCUGCUGCCACCCAGUGACAUAUUAGAGUAUUAUUCUGACGCUCACCUUAUUACAGCACAAACACUCGACAAUGGCACAUUAUUUGCAAAUUGGAUAAUUUCCCGCGGCACACCUGACGAUCUCUCACGGCACACUAGUGUCACAUCCCACUAUAAGACCCAACCUCACAAAAUAAGAAGAAUCUGACCGUGAAAACUCAAAAUAAAAUCUUUAUAGAUGCAGAUUUUUAAGAAACCCAGGCAUAUGGAUGUGUCUGGGACGACUCUGGACAGCCUGUUUGUUUUUAAGCUUAUCUCUGCAAACCCACAUCCAAACUGCUUGAUUAGCACCAGCUCCCUCUCUCAUUUGAGGGGUGCAGCUUGCUUUCACAGCAAAGUGAGCAGCUUUCUUCAGUCAAGUGUUAAAGAUGGAGAUGAGGUGCCGUCCCUCCGCCCGUCUGCUCGACACACAAAAAAUCAAAACGUGGGCGUCCCUCCUGGAGGAAUACCGCCAGACUUCUCUGUGUUGGAUUGUUGAGAGGAAACUCUCCAAUGAAUCUGCUGCAAACAAGCUCAUUAGGGCCAGAAAAGCCGUGUGUUUGUGAUUUUGGAUCACCCCCUCCUCUCUCUGAGCCGUUGAUACUUUAAUUAACGUCAUCAGUCAUAGCGAUAAUGCAGAAUUAGCCAGCCUCCUUUUGUUGAUGCUCUCCCUGCAGGCUGGAUGUUCUUUGCUUCGCUUGCCUGACCUGUUUUGCCACCGUGCAUGUUAAACGAGUCCAUCUUGCCCGGCCUCCUCCUGUUUGUGGGAAUCAUUGCGACAAACAGCCGCUAUUCUCCUCUGAACCCCCUUCUGUGAAAGUCUACAAACAUGGCUGCUGUAAUGGAGUCUGGAUGGUAAUGCCGGGGGAAGACAGAAAUUUGGUAUUACCUUAAUUUCCCAUCCGAACAUCUUAUUUCCAGGAAGUAUUUGACUCCUUUUUUGUGGUUCAAUCUGUCGCACGCUGGAGGAUAUAUUUCCAAUUUAUGUCGCCCCAGGUGUAUUACCAGCCUUCAGGCGUUUCUGAGCAGCGUUGGUACAUCCAGCGGAGGUCAGUAAACCCAUUUCUCAUAUAAACACUGGCCGUCAUCCUGAUGGAAAAACUGUUUUGGAGAAAACUCUGAUUGAUCCAACAACCCAUGAAACAAGUUCGCCCACCGUCUGAGGCAAAAGUCCAAACUUGACGAGACUCCAUCAGUGUGGAAACUUUCUCAACGCACCUGUGAUGUUUUUUUGCCUUUUCCCAAAUAUUGUUUUAUUGGUUUUAAUAUCGCUCUUGUGUCUCUUUGUCUCUGCCUCUCCAUCUGCUCAUUCUUGUUAUUUCUGCUGUAAAAAAAACACCUGCUCGGCCCUCAGGGACCAAUAACGUCUCAUCCAAUCGAUACAGCUCCGUCCCCGUCAACAGCUAUUUGACCACUGCGAUCCAGCUGUUGGGUAAACGAGUCAGUAAUUGUUUGCAGCACCAGAUGUUGAUUUGAGCGGGACUCAACUCCCCUAAUGCCCUCUGGAGAAAGACAGAGCUCAUGAAACUCUGUUUUGUUUUUGGUGUUUUUGAUAAAAUAACCCAAAAAAAAAAGAUUUGGAUCUUUCUUCUUCAUACAUCAUGUCAAACUUUUUGGAUCGAAGUGACCCCAUAAAGUUUCCAUUGUUCACUUUGCCAUAAAAACUGUCGUAUUCCUGUCAGGGUGUGAAACCUCUGAAAGAUUUAGAUCUCCCUGGGCUCAGUCUUUUCCUCCAGGAGGGUGAGCAGCAGUUCUUUAAAGCACACUGAGGCCGGUUUCUUUCUCUGUGGGACAAAAUCCUCCUAAAGCACAGUGAUGUUUCCCCUCAUCUGCACUGAAAUAGAAAAACGGGUGGGUACUCUUUCAAACCACACGGGGGUCCUGACUUCAAACUGGUGCAAAGGGCAGAUCAGAUGUCGAGGCUUCUUUUAGACCGAUGCAGCUCUCAAAUUUCAACACCAGUGGACAUGAAUGGAGGAUUAGUUUGUUGGCCACCGUUCUGCAGGAUAAAGUUGAAGAGCAUUGAGGUUUCCUGGUCAGGUACUCAACUGCGGCAAACCAGUGCUGUUGUGGCCCAACGCUGAAGUAUGUCCGAGUUACACUAAAAAUGACUUCAGCUCUGUGUGAGGAUGCCUAGUCAAGUCCAAAGAAUAGAAGGUCCACAUGAAUGAUCAGUUUAAUAAGAUUUACUGGAUGCAGACCUGGAUUACCUCCAACUCCACUGCAUGCAGAACGGUACCACAUGCGCUAUGGCGUUUGUGUGUUUGUGAGGCCAAUUUUGGACAGCAACAGAACCCGCAAAUUCACAUGCAAUCCCACGAUGAAGAGUUGUCUGUAUAAAGACAGCCACAUGACCACAUAAAGAGGUUGAUUGUGUCCUUCAGGAGGAGGAAAUCCACUCUGUCCAGACCAGUAGAUCAGAUCAAAUCAGCAUUUCCUCAUCCAUGGUGUCAUCAGGGUGAAAUGACACCUGAAAACCUUUGACCUGUUCGUCCCCGCCCACGUUUGCAUGGUGUGAAAUACGAUCCGCCUGAAACAUGUAGUGUAUAUCCAACAUGAGUCUGGUCCUGCUCGAGGUUUCAGUUUUUCCUCGCCGCCGUAAGUUGGGGAAUUACUUGCUGUUAGAUUGGUCCAAUCAAAUCUGUCACAUCUCAAGGUUGGGUUUGGUCUGGACCUGCUCUUGUGGAAAGUGUAAAAACAAAGAUUUAUCAACUGAAACUCCUCGUUUCGGAUUUUUCCUUGGGUCACAUGGUGCCGACAGAGGGACUUUAGUCUCAAAGCAAAAUAUCUGAGGUCUUAAAGUCAAACAUCCCACUCACUCCAAAUGGUUCUUCCAAACCCUGUUUUCACAAUCUCCACCUUUGAAGGAGUUUUGAAAAUGUAAUUCGUACUACGUCGCUGUAAAUGUUCAAAACUAUCCAGGUACCUGCAGACAGGACCUCAGUGAGUGGUUUUAAACCCUAAAGUUGGUGAAAACGCAGACUCAAACUACUCCUCAUAUGGAUAAAUGUAAACGGGCGGUUCAGACCAGAAUAGUUCUUCAUACCAGGCUGUUUUUCUGCUGCAGAAAUGUGGAUUUUACCACAGUGACUAUGGUGGAUUCCUUUGACUGGACGCUCACAGAAAUGCUUUUUACAUCGAUUACCACUCAUCUUAUGGUGCACAACUCAUCAGACGCUGUAUCAGACAACAUCGAAAACCAACAAUGUGUCUGUCCGCCCGUCUGUCUGUCUGUGAAUACUCUCCACUCCACUAAGAAAACUGCUCAGAGACUCUUUUCAUCCGAGUGAUUUUACCACUUCUGACUAAACCGUGCAGCUCUAUGAAAGAGAGGAAGAAGAUGCAUUUGGCUUCAGAUGCACAGAUAAUACUCAUUAGUAUAGGAUCAAUUCAUUGCAUGUAAGUGUUCACAUGAGGGAAGAAUACCUCCACUCUUUCCUUUUUGUGUUUCUUGCUGUAUGUAAUUAGUGAGAUGGACCAUUUUCUGCAGCGCUCAAUAAACUUAUUAGAUGAGGUGGUUUGUUUGCAGGCUCCACAUUAAUUACGUAAUUACUUAGAAAAACUAAACUUCUAAAAAAGAGGGAUCAGCAUAACGUGCCUGGUGACAUUGUGGGUUUGUUUUUGUUUUUUUAAUGCGGUUGAAUCGAGGUGCUGCUGCAGAAAAGAGGAGGAUACAGACGUCAGAUGAGUCGGUCACUUCCUGAUCUGGAUAAACAGUCAUGCACUUAAAAUGGUACCAAUGGAAAGAUGCACUUAUACCCAGAAAUGGCCUCCCAGGUGAUCAACACUUUUAAAUGACUGAACAUUUAAUGCGACUCGUCCCAGGAGAGCACGUUUGGCUCUAUUUAGGAGGAUGGGCAGAUUUAACACGGUGUAAAUACGAACAGACAGAUCGUGUUAAAAGCAGCAUUUCCAUUCACAGGGGGUGUAAGAUAUAUAAAAAGCUCCUAAAGCCCCUUUUAUUUUAUCUCCUGAUGGACCAAUUUACUCUGGACCAGCUGUUAAUAAUGAGCCUUUUAGUCCAGAUCAGGAAAUUGAGGAAAGAGCGUGUUACCACAGCGACUUGACGUCUGGUCAGCGGAAGGUCAAACUGAACAUCAGAAACUCGUGAUCCAGCUCCUCGACCCUCCAGGCUCCUCUGAAGUUUGGCCUCAGUUUUUGUCAGAGACAACAGCCGAUACACGCUUUAACCUCAGGAUGAGACGAACAAGAGGCCAAGUUAGAGCUGAUGCUGAAUGUUUUUAAUGAGUUUUCACACGUCAGAUUUAUGGAAUUAUAACCGGAGAUGGAUGCAUUUGCUCUGCGUUCUAGUUUUGGUCAAUCCAAGUUUGGCGUUUUUGCAGAUUCAAUCAUAUUUAGCAUUGAGGAUGGACUUCUUGUGGUUCACAUUAAACGUAGACAUUUUCAUUCCAUGCUGAAAACCUAAAUGUUUAUUUUACACACAUUUGAGGUGUGAAGGAACUUUAGUUCAAGAGGAGAAUGGAGAGAGGAAUUCAUGAGCCAGGGUUCGUUGUGCCUGGAUGACUUUCUGGAGGGACCGCCCCCUCAGAGCGAAUUCAGGAUGGAAAAUGAACGGCUCGGGCCUCCAUCUUCUGAACUUUUCUACAGUUUUUUUCAGGUUUGUACGUUGUGAAUUCCACAAAAAUUAUGCUCUUACAUCAAACAAAGUUCAACUCAACAUGACGCAAGUUUGAAGUUUGUUGUUGACGGACUUUAGCGUGCUAUACGGACUUAGAUGAGAGCUAAAAAUAGCGUUGCCGCUCAGCGCGGGAGGUGAUCAUCCUAAAACCUGUGCAGGUUAUAACUCUAACAUCCCCCAAUAUCUGAGUUUGAUGAGUUUUUUUGAUGUGAAAAAAGAUGUUUAUACGAUUCAGAAGUACAGUUAUUUAAGUAUUUUGUUGAAGUGAAAAGUAUUGUUCCUGAGCCUUGUAGAUCAAAACGAAACUGUUACUUAGAUUAAGAAAUGUUUCCUCUGCAGGACGUCUAAUAUUUUUGAUUAAAUCAGUCUUAUAUUGCUGUAAGCACUUUAAAGGGCAGGUUGACUGUUUUCUAGCAUCCUAUUAAUUUAUAUAAACUAAUGUCUGAUUUAAUGAGACCCAAAGAAGUGGUUUACCACUCAGUAUUAAAUUUUGAAAAGUUGCAUUCUGCCUUUAAAAUGAAUACUUAAUGAAUGUUAAAAAAGGAGAGACACCAUAUGAAGUGGACUUUAUUAAAAUGGGUAAAGGGUAAAACUCACCUGUGAAUCCUGUAACAUUAUCAACUCAAAGCAUCAUUGCGGUCAACAUGGUUGUCCAGUUUGAUGCAUGGUUGGUGAGGGUUAGGUUUGCGUCUUUAGCAGAGCAGGAUUUACGCUCCUCCACUCUCCUUCCUCCUGAUGGAAAACUGAGCGUCACAGAUCGGUCUGUGCGAUUGUGCGUUUGUGUUUCAUGAACGAUGACAGCUGUGUUCGCCGGGGCAUGUGCAGGUGAGGGUUCAACUGUGGUCCACGUAUUUCCUGUGGGUUUCAGGGGUUACUCUCAGCCUGAGGAUGAAGCUCAGAAGAGCAGAGAUGGACUAACCACAGAUCUGGUGGAGGUCUGACAUCCUGCUUCCACCAAGAGUAUGGUUAAUUUUAAUGUCCACAAUGUCCUGUUUGAUAUUUUCUUUUAAUAAUUUGUGAAUAAAUUAUUAUUCAAGUGGAUCUUGAAAGCCUACAAUGCCUUUAGAGUUUGAUGUGCUUGAAAUGACUCUAAUCCCUGAAGAUGUUUCCAGGCCAUGUUUCACAUGAAGAGGGAGCUUCCAGGCAUCUUUGUCACUAUGAGGAGAAAUUAAACUCAGUGGCUUUAAUUUAUUUGGUAAGUUAUUCUUGCAUGUAAUGACAGGCGGCGUUUCAGAGAGAGAGAGAGAGAGGAGGGAGCAGAAAGAAAAUGAGAUAAGGAAAGAAUGAGCGAGAUGACCUGCAGACAUCCUGCAUCUUCAACAGCCCCUCAUAUUUCAGAAGAAGCGCCUCACCUAACAGCACGCUUAAUUACCCAUGACUGUUCACAGCUCCAUAAUUAACAUCCUCAUAGAUUUCAGCAGCAGAUGCAGAGUCCUAACAGGUCAAGGCUUUGUGCUCAGGUGAGGGGAGGUCUUUGCAGGAGCUCCUUUACCUGCAGGGUGAGAAGAGAGGCGGUUAACUUGCCUAAGGGGUAAUUUAUCGAGUAGAGGAGGAGGAGGAGGAGGAGGACGGGUUCAAGAACAGCUGAUAGAUAAAUUUAGUGGAUGAUGAAGUAGACGGCAACCUCACCAUCCACCCAACGAAAAUACGACUCCACCAGAUAAAAACAGGACGUUAUGAAGUCCAGCUUCGAGCUUAUUACUAUAAUUAUAGUAAUAAUACAUUUAUUUAAGGCUAUGAGAGCGGGAAAAAGGAGCACGCUGAUCAUAAAACGUGACAAUAGAUAAGAUGAAGUUUUAGAAAGAGAAAAGUUUGACGUCUUUUCAGAUUCUGGGGUCUGUGGCGCCCUCCGAUGGUUGGGAGGGCAUCAACAGAUUAGUGGCUGUUGAGGUGGACGUCUUGGCCGGAGAAGGAUGUGGCGGUUCAAUCAAAGAAAGUGUUGAUCAAAGAUCUGUCUCUCCAGAUGGUUAGUGUUAAUGUAGGUGGCUUGACUGUAGCAGAGGUUGUGUCCACUUUGAGGUACAGUUGGGUGUCAUCGGCGUAGCGAUGGAUAGAUAUUCUACGUUAGCUGAUGACAUGGGCGAGAAUUUAGAGAGUGCAGAGGUUGGGGCCAAGGACCGUUCUUUGGGGAACCCCACAUGUGACAGGAUGUGUCCUAAACUUAAGUCAUUAAGUUAUUAGGUUAAGUUAUUUAAACUUCAAGUUAGGACAGGUUCAGGCUUGCUGCUAAAGGUCUAGACUGUCAGGGGUACGAGUACACUGAGCAUCUUCAUCUCUUUCUCUGUCCUCGGUCAGGCCGUGUUACUGACUUUGGAUCAUCAUGUCCCAUUAGAGUCACUCAUACACAGUCUAUUCUGGGAGUUUUUAAUGACUCAUCCAGUUUAAUGGAUCCUAAAUUAAGAGUUGUGCACAAUAAGGAAUACAGCUGUUUGCUGGUUUAUUUGAUGUGCUUUACAAAGUGCCUAAAAUAAGAUGUAAUCCAGAAACGUUCAAAAGCUCCUAACCUUCUGUCAGGAUCUCUUUCUAUAUCCAUCUAGAAGCUCUUGUGUAUCAUAAUAAAUCCCAUAAUUCAUUCAUUACUGCCUGAGGCUGUGAUUCCUCUGGCAGGGAUGCCCGGAGGCCACGAGCCGAACACGGUUUCCUUCUCACCCCUGCAGUCAAAGUGCAUCAUCUGGAGUGACCGGGACACAAAGUGGAACACCACAUCCCUGAUUUCCCAACAUGCUGAGAACAAAGUCCCAAUCUCACUAACUAAGAGACUAAUUGGCACACAGACAUGGUGUGAAAUAUGUUGUCAGUGGAAAAAGGCACGCCAAACAGAGGAGUUGACCUACAUCAGCUGUUGCCUGGGACUUUAGCGGUGAUCUCUGUGGCUGCCAGCGGACACAGGUGGAGCUGAGCUGGAGAUCUGACUCUAAUUAGGAAGACGAGGACAGUUUCCGUGAAUCCGUCACGACGGCUCAUCAGCUGAACGACCACCAAUCAGGAAAUAACCAUCAGUCUAUCCGUCUAUCGCUACCAUCCAUCUAUCCACAGCCCAACAGAGCUCAGACUUUUGAUUAACGGUCCAGCUCUGGGUCAGAGUCUAGUAAUUGGCGACUGACUUUGGGUACUUUUUCAGUCUUUUUUUCCAACCUUAACUGACCGACAGAGCUCUGGCUCAAGUGGGUGCACAACCACGACUGCAGCUUUGCCAUGUCUUCUGAGUUAGUGUCAAAAUUAGAGCUGGGAUCACAUUCAGCACAUUUUUUUUCCAGCAGAUAUGAGUCACAUAACCCCGGAGGAGAGAGCGUAAACAGAGGCUGCGAUAGUUUGUUGGUGUUAGUUGGUGAUUCUUCGGCUGAUUUCAGGAGACUGGUGAUUUAAUCAGCCGUGCUCUCUGCCCCUUACUUAUCUUGUCUUAUCAUAUUACUCCAGUAGAUGACCUGCUAUAACCCGUUUUAUCAUAAUCAAACGUUCCCUAAAAAGUCAGACUAACUUCUUCUUUGAUUUACUUUACCUGCUGUUCAAUCCUUACCCUGCCCAGACACGUUUCACCCUCAAAGUCCAGUUUGAAGAUGAAACGAGUCAUAAAGAUAUGUGCUCCUUAGUUUCUUAAAAACUUAGGUGAAUAUGACUUCUAUACAGGCAGGUGAAGAGGAAUCAAGGAUUAAACAGAGCCCAAUAUGCAUGAAUAAAACAGCACAAUGACUGUAUUUGUCAGCAUGAUGUCUCACACUGGGAACAGCAGGGGCUCUGUUACUCAUACUGGAUUUAUGAAUGGAAAAUUACCCAUUGAAAACUAACGUCUUGUCUUAAGAGUUGGUCUGGUAAAUGACAGUAUCACGAGCAUAGACAUGAAUGUGACACAUUUGUCAGAGAUCGUCAAUCAUAAUGGGAAAAAGGAAGUGGGCCUAGAGUAGAGCCUUGUGGCACACCUAAAUAAUCAACUGUAUAGCUGGACUGAGGAUUGUGAUAUAACCCAGUUGGUCGAGUUAACGUCAGUAUCAUCAGCAUAGACAUAAAAGUGACAGUUUGAACACAAUCAUGGUAAAUCCUCUGGAGUGAUGAGAAACAAAAAAGGAAGUGGGCCUACAGUAGAGCCUUGUGGGACACCUAAAUAAUUAAGUAUAAGGCUGGACUGAGUUUGUGAUAAAUCAGACUUAUACAGGUUUAUAACAGUAUCUUAAGCAUAGAGGUGAUUGUGACAGUUUGAAAACACUUCUGAUGGAUCAUUAAUAAAUGUUAAAAAGAGAAGGUGAAGUGGGCCUAGAGUAGAGCCUUGUGGGACACCUAAAUAAACGACUGUAUAGCUGGACUGAGGAUCGUAAUAUAACCCAGUUGGUUGAGUCAACGUCAGUAUCAUCAGCAUAGACAUGAAUGUGACAGAGAUGGGCCUUGAGUAGAGCCCUGUGGGACACCUUAAAAAAAUAAACAAGUAUACGGCCAGACUGAGUUUUUGACAAAUCAGAGUUAGACAGGUUAAUGACAGAAUCAUCAGCAUAGAGGUGAAUGUGACCAUUUUAACACAUUUGUCGAAGAUUCUCUACAGUGGAAAAAAAGAGUGAUGGUGUAGUCUGAACUCUAUGUAAAUUCAUCUUUAGUCAUUUUAUGCUUAAAUAAAUACUGCUGCCCACAAUAUCCGAUCCUCUUGAUUAUCUUCAUCAAAGCUCCAGAUUUCCAUCACAAACCCCUCGCUGUUUUCAAAGCCCUUACAUGUGAUUUCUAACCUGAUCCCUCUCCAGUCGUGUUAAUAAUUUCUCGUGUUCCUCCAGCUGAUCAACCAGAACAAUCAGAGAUAUUGUGAAGUGAGGAAAAAAAAUCAUAUUUGUUUUUCAUUCACCCAUAAACUGAUAUACGGACGCGAUGAAAUCACCAGAGACGGGGUUGUAAUUCCAUCCAGCACCUGCGCCUGAUCCUCCAAUAAUACAUAUCUGUGCAUAUUAUCUGUCACGGGAGGAAAAUCCCUGCAAGUGUCAUGAAACUGAUUUGAUUUUUAACUGUGGCUGUGUAUUCUGCAGAAUGAUAAUGCAGAGAGGCAAGCUGUUCCAUAUAAUGCGUAAUCGUGUUUUACCUUUCUGACAAAAGCUGACAUUAGACGUGGGGGUUAUCACUGAUGAUCCUCUGUUAUUGUAUUUCAUGGCUUCAGGCACAGCACAAGCAAAGAGCGACAGUGAAGGAAGGAAAGAAGAAACGGAAGGUUGUUACUCUGUGAAUAAUGCAUUUUUUGUACAUUUCCCUGUGCUGAGUGUUGCCUUGCAGACAGUAAUCACUUCAUGUUUUCCUCUGCUGAUAACAGAAGCUGCAUCAUUGUGAGAGAUAGGGAUGUGAAUACACAAUGUUCAAUCUAAGUAAAUGUAUUUAUUCUUGCUCAGUUUGUUAAGAAAUAGAUAUGUUGGAUCUGAAAAGACGAGGAAACCUUUGGAGGAUGUUUGGGUGUCAUGGGCAGGUGCAGAAAGGUAUUUUAAGGUCAGUCCUGAAUCAGAGGCAGUUUGGGUGAUUCAAAGCGGUUUGAAUAGGGAUCAUAAAUCACACAUGCCCUUAGGAGGGUUCAUUACCUUGAAAAUAAAGCUUUUACCGCUGAUUGCAUUCUGUAGCUUGUGCAGCUCCUGUGACCAAACAGGAGUCCGAAAAAAAAAACCCUCCUGCUUCAUCUUUGUUGUUCUCAAUGAGAUUAGUGUCUUAAGAUGUAAAAGCAGGAUAAUACAACGCUGAAAUACAUGAUUCUUCCCCUUCAGUCAUUGCCUGGUUAACAUUCACACUGAGUGCUGUUUCUGCAAAGUCAUUUCUCAAAUGCCACGAACAAUGGCACAGUGAUAACAGAUGUGAUGCACAGCCUGUGUUAGUAUGCUGCAUGGAAAAUAGCAAAGAAGACAGCAAGGUGAUUCCAGCAUUAAAACUCCUCACCUCCCGUCUUCUCCCCCCUCUCUCUCUCUCUGUCCUGUCUCUUCUUCAACAGUCCAGCCUCCCACUUAAAAAUCACAAGGCGAUCGCUGACGUCUGUGCUCUCAGUAACGUAUCAGUGUUGUCUCAAUAGCUACAAAUCAAUCUGUGCUCGGACAGCCUCUGCAAUGCAGGCACAGGGCUCCCGCUUGGCCGAGGCGUCGGGAGCAGUUUGCUGGCUGAGCUGCCCUGCAUGUCUGUCAGGAGAGGAGGGGAGGGCGCCGUCAAAUAGAGGAAAACAAAAGGGAACGGAGCUAUAUUUGCAUUCAUCUUCACUAAUUCAAUACUGUUCCCAAACUCACUCGUCACAGACCCUUCAAACCAGAGGCGACGAGUAAUGGAGGUUUUUAUUUAUCUAUUUUUGUUGGUGUGCGAUGAAAAUAUUAUCAACACUGGAGGAAACUAAAGAAAGAGAAUUAAUAAUAGUUAAAGAUGUGAAGUCAGACGGUCCGUCUUUAUGAUGACGAUGUGACGUUAUUUCUAAGCUGGCAGCCAAACUGCUGAUAAAUGCCGAUGAUGCUACAACACAGAAAGAGCGACUUACGCCUGAUGACGAUGAUGUUGGCGAUGAGGUCAAUCUGGAGAAAGAUUGUAAAAAUUUGACGUUAAUCUAAAAAUGAGUCUGCCCUUUAAGAAGCUCCGCCCCCAACUUCAAGGACAAGGAUGUGGAAAUGGUGGCUAAAGUGAGACAGACUCCUCAGAGACCCAAAGGAGUGAGCGGCCCCCGAUGAGCCUCUGCUCUGUUAUAGUUGUUCUUCAUCAGAAUAUAUAGCUCUAACUCUUCAGCUGGAGAAACAUCAAGAUUAAGUAGAUCCAGAACAUCAGUCAGAUUUAUAAUAUUACAGCACCAGCUUCUAAGACAAGAUCUGCUAAUGAUUUGAAAACUUGAUGUUUAUCAGUCGCAUUCAUUGUUAUUUAUUCAUAAAAACUCAUUUUGUGUAAAUGACGAGGCUGUGUGUUAAAAUACCACUGAGUCAAGGAGCUGUAUUCAAAAUAAUGUAAAAAUAAUGUAAAAGUGCUUUUAUAUACUUCAAAUACAACAAAUAAAUGUAAAACAGACAAGAAAAAUAAACUCUCUUCUUCCCUGACUUUUCAUUUGAAUUAAAACAAUACUUAAAAACUUUUAAAUUAAUUGACAGUAAACCAAGAAAGACCAUUAAAUUUUUUUAAGUGAGGAUCUUGCAGAAGGAUAAAAUUUGAACAUCUGAGAUUCAUUUGUUAAUUGUCCAAUUUUGCAACAUCACAUAUCUCAAUUACUUGUUUAAAUAUUUAUUUAUUUUUCUUUCUCCUUCUGAACAUUUAUUCAAUAUUGGUUUAUGAUAUAUUUUUUGUUCUAUUCAUUUAAAAAAAAAAAAAAGCCACCGCUAGGCGAAGCAGACUGGUCCGAUGCAUACUGUUAAAUUUGCCCGAAUCAUUAACGUCAUCUGGGUAUUUUUGUCACACUGCAGCUUUAGCAUCGUUCACAUACUGCAUACUACAUUUUGGACAAAUCAGUACAUACUGUUAGUUUAUUAGGCGAAUCUGAAAACAGUCACAGAUUUUAUCAUUUUAAUAACUUUUUUAUGUUUAUUUUGUCUUUUUUUUUUUUUUUUUUUUUUAAACCCAAAUAACAGAAAAACAACAUAUUUCUUUGUCCCUGUUGGUCCGUGUAAAACAGCAAAGCUGGCCAUCAAUGCAAGAAAUAUAUAAUUUUAAAGGAAAUGCACUUUUAAUGAUGGUAAUCAAACUGAAUAAAUUAAUUACAGUGAUCUAAAAUCACAAUACAGAAUGAAAAUGUGCAGCCAAUUCAUUUAUUUUGAUUUAUUACCAAGAAAACAUAUGCGAGAACUGUUCAUUAUAAAGAGUUAAAAAUCAAUCUUUAAGUGCAACAGAAUGACUUUAAUCAGCGAGCGCUGUAAUGGUAAACAUUAGAAAUGAAUGAGGGUGCGAAAAUCAGCAAAGCCAUCUUUUCCUGUAUGUAUAAGGAGCUGUAGUGACACUGAGUGCCUCUGCAGUGGUCCUCCAGUCAGCACACUUUCAAUCACAGAGCAGAAAAUCCGUCACAUCAGCUGCUGCAGAGAUCAGUCCUGAUGAAAAAGCUGCCAACUCUCUGAUCUGUGCACGACUUGAACAAGAAUCACCGCGAACCGUCCAAGUGUCAAAGUUUUUAUUAAACUAACUCGGCUUCUGAAUUACACCUGAAGUUUAACAUAAUGAGGCAGAGAUCAGCUCCUGUCAGGUGGAGGUGGAGGAUGAGAGACCAUCUCAUCCCCGUCAAUUUUUGGACACGUGCGCGGCGAUUAGUCGUUGAAAUCAUGAGGUUGAAAAAGUCAUCUGGAGGAUAGAGUUCGGUGGUAAAACACAGCAGUGAUCAGCAGUAAUGUCUGAACAGGAGAAGAUGUUUCAGAAUAAGAUACAAACACAAGGUCUGGAAAGAGUUUUAAAGACAGACUUUACUUUUAAAAUAUAAACAAAAUUUAAAGCCUAUAUGAUACACUGGGACAGGAUUUAGUACAAACCCCAAUUCCAGUGAAGUUUGAGUACAAUGUGAAUGAAACCAGAAUACAAUGAUUUGCUAAUCUUUGUCUUCUUAUAUCCAAUAACACGACAAAGACAUAAUAUUUAAUGUUCAAACUGAUUAAGUUGAGUUUUUUUUAAGUAUUCAUUCUUUUUGAAUUUGAUGGCUGUAACACGAUCCCAAAAAAGGUGUCAACAGAAGUCUGGGAGAAUUGAGGGCAGCUCCAAAAACACCUGUUUGGAUCAUUCUACAGGUGAACACGUUUAAACAGGUGAGAGUCAUGAUCGGGUAUAAAAGGAGCUUCACAAGCGAGGACGGGGCCCGGUUCACCACUUUGUCAACAACUGCGUGAGCAAACAGUCCAACAGUUUAACAACGUUUGAGGAAUUCAGUGAUCUGAUCAUCUACAGUCCAGCAUAGCGUCAAAAGAUUCAGAGAAAUCUCUGCAUGUAAGCAGCAAGACCCAAACCAACACUGAGGGCCUGUGACCUUUGACCCCUCAGGUGACACUGCAUUAAAACAGUUGGUCCCUACAUCUACAAGUUCAAACUCAAGGAUGCAAAAACAAAACCAGAUUUUAACAACAGCCUCUGAGACGGACUGACAAGUCCACAUUUCUAACUGUUUUUGUAAAUCCUGGACAUACAGAGGAAAAAGACCAUCCAGACUAGAGUUGGGCGGUAUGACGGUAUAAAAGUGUCUACAAGUAGAAAUGUUGAGGAAAAGAGCUCAGAUUCAGACCGGAAAAACAGCCUCCUUCAGAGUAAAAGGUUCGACUGAAUAAAUAAGAUCUGCGCUCCAACUCUCCAACAUCAACUGCAGAUUACAGGGAUCAAGACAGAUUUGUUUGCGCUGAUGGAAAAUGCAGCUUUUGAUCCUUUUCUUCACGUUCAGACACGAGCACCCUGUGGAGUUACCCAGUAACAGGAAGUAAACUUUCUUAAUGUUAGAGGCAGACGACAUCUCCGGGGCUACAGUCAAACUUUUAAUACGCCAAAUCUGUCCAAAAACAAAGCUGUGGGAGGAAAUGGAGUGUCUGUGAUGACUCUCCAGAUGAUAAAGUAAUAAUAUGUUCUCAUGAAGCAGCGGCCUCAGGCACAGCUAAAUGUCUUCUGCAGGGUCUCAGGGUAAAAACCAGAUUUCUCAUUUGGUUCCCCGCUGAAAAGCCUUAAAAAGACAAAUGCACAGCUCAGGGCGACCUGCAGCAGCUCCAGGACCGUCUCGUAAGAGUGCAGAGUCACCGUGCCGGGCUCUGUACAGUCAGGUCUGAUCCAUCUCUGCUCAUUUAGUUGUUUCUCUGUGACUUUAGAAGUUCCUCAGGGGAAGGGUUUGUCAUUAGACCCAAAGCAGCCGCUACAUGAGACACACAAAUAAGACGUCCUCAAUGUAACACUGCGACAAAAUUCAAUAAACACACUUCUCUGCUUUCGUACCUGGUCCUUAAACUCAACUUUAAAUGUCUCAUAUAAAACAUCGAAGUCAAGGCCAGGUGGUUUUUUGUGGUAAAUUGUGUCUUCAAGAUCACAGAAGAAAUGAAAUUAAGGUAUUUUAACAAUUCUGGUAUUUUCUCUCACAAUAAGCAGGUAAACACGGAUGAAAUAUGGAGCUGAAUCAGAGAUCUAAAGCCUUUUGUUUCAACUGCCUCCAAGUGCAAAAAGAAUAAAGUUGCAUUGCAUAAGUAAUGUGCAAGAUUUACAUGGAUGUUUUUGAAUCUUUCUUCUGCGAAACACACAAACGGAAUAAACAUAAAACAUGAUAAAAUGGUCUUUAACGCGACUAUUAACGGACCAAAAUAAUAAACACAGUCAGAGUUAUGAGCAGGCACUUUCCUCAUCUUUUAUUUUGUCAUUUGGGUGAUUACAGACUGACCAGGCAGUAACACGAGUUCAAGUCCGAGGUCGAGUCAUUGAGGGUGAAAAAUGACCUCUCCAUCUGCAGCCUCGCACUGUCCAUAAAAGCACAGAGGGCCUAAUAAGUUCGCAUUAAAACAUUACUCAUGUUGUGCUGCCUGACAGAGAGGCUAUGACCUUAAUCUACGACCAGAGGUCACACACACACACACACAAAUGCACACACACACACAAGCGCUGUGCAAAAACUCAUUCCACACUCAAUAAAUGCUUGUGCGGCCAGGCAGACAAACGCUUUCACAAUUUAACCUGUCACAAAUGGUUUUGUUGGGGCUAAACAACCUCUCUGCAGCUGUGCUCCACCCUGGCAGCCAGCUGGAGCUUUGGACCAACCAUCCAUCGACUUUGUUCGAAAGUGACUUCAACAUAUUGCACGUUGCACGUUCCACCUCUGUGACCCCUUGGCUGAGGACAAACCACGGUACGGCGGCGUUUCUGCUACGACUUCAUCUCAGCUCGAUGCAUCUGCUGUGACAAAUGUCUGUUUGCAGUUCUCUGUCACGGCGCUUUAUUAAAAGAUCCUGUUCUCUGCAGAGGAGGAAGUGAUCAGGCUUCAGUGUUUGGCUUUGUUGUCACUUCAUUAUGCAUCAUUCACCCCCUCAGUACCUGCAUCGUGUCACCGGGAGAAGUCACCAAUCAGAGGCGCUCUUGCAUUACUGACAUCUUGUUUGCUUCAAUAAAUUCACACAUGUUUGAAAAGUGAGAGAUAAACUGUACAUGUUUGACUUUUCUGCACAAAAAACUCAACGAGAGCAAAAAUGUUCCCGCUCAGGAUGUGCAGGUCCAGAACUCAACUCUUGGCUCGGAGCGUGUGCACAUUUGGCAGCAGAAUCUGAAUGUUUGGGUCAUGAAUACUACAGGAUAAAUCCAAUGCAGAGGCGUAAACCAGACCAGACACUUCGUACAUGUGCACAACCACCCUGAUCACAGCAACAGCAGCAACAUUAGAAACUCUUCAGGGAGGAAGUUCGAACCCAAACCAACAAACCAAACAACAAAUUCAGGCAAAAAUGGACGGACAGAACUUUUGAUUGGAGGAAACGAUUCAGGAAUCACAGAAAAUCCGCACAUCUUAAAAAACGUAUCCACUUGUUUAAGACGUAAAAAUACCAGCAGCUCUUCCCAUGGUCGACUUUAAAGGGAUAUUCCGGCAUAGAAUUAAGUUAGGGUUACAGUGGGGUGCCGCAGCUCAAGGAAGAACAUUUAUGAUCAUUUCUUUAUGGAAAUACAAUCAGACCGAGACGCUAAGGCAGAAAAACGACUGCGUCUGCAGUUCAAAAUGAUUAAUUUGUUGAUUAUUGAUCAUAAAUGUUCUUCCUUGAGCUGCAUCACCCCGCUGUAGUCCGUAAUGGACUGACCUGAGGUCUCUUGGCUGCUGGAAGAGAGAAGGUGAGUUGUGUUUAGUCUCUUUGCUAAAGAAAUGAGUCAAAGCUAAAAAGAUGUUUGGUGUCUAGUACUAUGUCUGUGACCCUAUAUGUCCUGUUGAUGAAGUUAGGUGCUGUUCUGAGCAUUAUUUGUGGCUGUAGAGUGGCGUUUUGGUUGAGCGCGUGGCUCUCUGUAUUGCUAUCCUGUGGUCGUUACUAAAGUUGGUAUAACUAGAGAAGCAAGUGGUCGGCAACAUUCAUCUCUCGUCGGGGUGUCUAACUCGGUGUUACGGUGUGUUUGACCCUAAAUUAAUAUCCCUUUAAGAAGAAAUAAUCACAGCAGCUCUCCCCAUGGUUGACUAACAUGUUUGUGUCGAUAGGAUCGGAUCAUGUAUAGGGUGCAGGUAGAGUCAAAUACUGUGCGUGUGUAGGCUAUAGUGGACUGCUGAAUAUUACAUGUGAUGUCAAAGUGUAUAUAGAACAAGCCGAGAAUAACCUGGUCACUGCAUGUGCUGACAUUGACGUCUCUGGGGCUUCAGAAAGAGACAGGUCUGCAUCCCCAGAGAGAGGCUGUGUGAUCGGUUGGUGUGAGCUGUAUUUGUGAGUAUAUAUACUGUGUGUGCUUACUGUAUAUAUACAUGCACAUCCAUGGGAUCAUUUGUUUCCCUUUGCCUGCCUGAAUGUGUUGGCAGCUUCCAGGAACAGUAUAAGUGGAGUCAGUGGGGACUGAGGUGACAUGAAGACCACAUCAGCAGAUGAUGGCAAACAGAAACUAAAAGCUCUUAGAGAAGCUUCAUAAAUCCAAGUUUGGUUCCGUUAUGUGGGCGGUCUGACAGAGUCAGGUGUUUCAAUAAAAAUACACAUACUGGGCUGGACGGUCUCAGUAACUGAGAAGCUCUUUUUUAUUCAACAUACAGUAUAAGAGUCUCUGCUUUCACAUGAUUGGUCCACAAGGUAAAUACACGGAAAUAUGUUUCACUACAACACCGCCUGUGUGAGCAGUGGGAUCCAGACGUGACGGGAGUUUUCUCUAACUUAAGAUAAAUAUUUUAGAGUUAAUGAUAAGAUAAAUAUGCAAAUUAAAAAAUGACUUCGUUUGACAAGAAACACUUCUGUUACAGACACUUGUCUUACUUUGUUAAAGCGGUUUACCUGUCCAGCAGAAAGGUUACAGGGUCACCAAGAUCCCCAAGCGUCCCCCAUCGUUUAUGUUGACCCGGCUUUUUAGCUCUUGUCCGGUCUACCUCCGUUUUACCUCACCUUUAACAAUACUCCAGUUUUAGAUGAGAUCUUUGCAGGAGAAGACAAGAGCUAAGGAGCUUGGACCUGAUCUUGGAUUAUGUGGACUGGGAUGAUGCAGAGGACUUCAAACGCUCUCUAAUGUUGUCUUGUUAGUUAGUCAGGUUAUUUCAUGAUUUUAAUCGUUUCCACAUUAGAGGCGCUGACAGAUUCUUCAACAUCCCAGACACAUAGAUGUUAAUUUUCAGUCAUGCAUUCAACGCUGUAUGUUACCUGAUCGUCACUUCCUACAAACAUGUUUCUCACAGCGCCUUCAUUCCAAAGAUACCAAAGCUCAGCCCCUCUCUGGCUCCGGUGUCAUCCAGCCUCUCUCAGUAAUCAAUAGCCGUCCUCUUCAACACGCCGGCCCGUUAUUUAUGUCUGCCUCUGGACUUUAUGUGGAUAGGUCAGAGUGAGCGCUGUCCUGAAACAGCUUACUGCAGCACUCCAGCCCAUGCACAGGGGGGAAAUUUAUUUUUCUCAUUACGUAUGCGGCAUUGAGUCCAAAGUUUAGGAGUCCAUUGAUUGCCAUUGCUGGGGCGCUAGCUUGUCACGUCUAAUGUGUGAGGUGUGUGGGUCUGCUGGAGUGUGUGAAGUCUUAAUGGUCUCUUUGGAGAAGUGAGAACACGGAGUUUACCUCAUGCUGUAUUAAUGCAGCUUCACAGGCGAGUGCAGACUCUGGAAGUUAAUUAAUGUCAGGUCUGGGUAAUAGUUUUCUGAACUUUUAAAGUGAUAAUGCAAAAGCUCAAGCAGGCAAUAUUUGGAAACGCAUCCACUCGCGUUAUUGUGGGGAAAGUUAUAAAUCAUUUGACAUCGAUUUCUGGCAGCAGCCUGAGAGAGAGGAGCGCAUCCUGAAAAUCCAGACAGAGAUCAAAGAUUUCGUCUAUCCUGACGUCGACUUUUUAGACUUUCCAAUAAACUCCCUUUGGCAUUUUUGAUACGAAUGUGUGAUUCACUAAAAUUCAUCCUCUACCGCCGACCUCUUCUACUCUGCAGAUUUGUGACUGUCUGUCAUCAGGCCAAAUCUGAUUAAAGGGAUAGUUCUGCAUUUUUAAAGAGGGUUGUAUAAGUUACACAUGACUAGGAAGUGUAUGGCUAGGCUACAGUUGUCCUCAGAUAGAGCAGUCUCUGACUCAAAGCUGGGUUACUCAAGUAUUUUGAUACGACAACACUUCACAGUAUUUUUGAACCGUCUUUUAUUAUUUUCACUGGAAGUUUUCCUCAAUUUUUAUUGCCUGGUAUGUUUUUUCGACCUUUGUGUGGACUGCCUUUCUGCCAAAAUGAGCUUCAUAAAUAAACCUCUGUGACCUCAAACUUAGAGGUCAAUCAACAAAUCGAUUAAUCUUUACUUAUAAAGCGCCAACUCACAACAAGUGUUAUCUCAACUCACUGCCAUCCCAUCUCCAACCACAUGAGUGAAAAAAAAUAAGUGUUUAUCAAGUUAAAGCGGCGAAGAAGAACUUCCUUUACCAGGCAGAAACCUCGAGGAGGACCAGACUGAUGUUAGGCCGUCAUCUGCUGAGACUGAACUGGGUUUAGAGAAGAGAGAGAGAGACUCACAGACUCUACAGUCUUUUACCCUUCAGAAUAGGGCUGGGAAUCUCAGGGUACCUCAAGAUAUGAUACGCGAUACAUGGCUCACGAUAACGAUAAUAUCUCGAUAUGGCGAGACUGCGAUUAUCAAUACAUAACCUAUGAUACAUCUGUGUAUUUAUAAGGGUGAAAGAAAAAUAAAAUACAUUUCAUGGUUUAUAAUUUGCAGCAUAGUUUUUUCAGUGAGCAUAGUUUUUUACGGCUGGGUAACUCGUAUCUUGGCUCGAGUACCCCCAUCAUGAAGCAAAACCUCUCAUUUUCCACAAUGCUGUACAGAAAAAGGUCCUUACAAAUAUACACAGAAAUGAUAUGUGCAAUUGCUGUAGCUCUGGUUGAACUAAAAAGAAGCUCUGUCUGAAAGAAAGAGUCAAAAGUUAGCUGUACCGAGGAGCUAACAGGUACAGUUUUCUCUGCAAGCUCAGGACGGCGGUGAACGAGGAGGCUGGACAUGUUCGUUCGUCUGUGUCACAAAUUUUUGAGAGAUGCUUCUUGCAUACUGCAGAGUGCUUUUCCAGCUUAGUCCCGUCCACACUAUAAAGGCCAAAGUGUGUCCAUACUCUUGAUUUAGACAAAGCCGGUGCAUCCUUCAGUCUAACUUCACCGCUCCCAGAGUCCGCCAUAUUUUCUCUGUUUGUUUUUUCUGACUUCGGCCCAAUAUUCACUCACUCACACCAGGAGCGCCUCCUGGAUGACAUGUAAUACGGUGACUUGAAUCACUGUGGUUUAAUGAUAAUACAAAAAAAAAUUAUACGCAGCGAGCGUGCAUCAAUAAUCCAUCGUUAUGUUAAAUAUCACAGUAGUUUGCCAUAUUGAUAUUUUAUCACACUCCUACUUCAGACCAUCCCACUCUGUUGACCCUGAGUCCAGCCUUGAAUCAUACUCUUAAUAAAAUGAAACUUAAUUAGCUUUAAAUUUCUGCAUUUCUAAGUUGAUCUAAUUCCUCUACGUACAACACAACAAAUUUAUUGUAUUAUUUCAACCGUGUCUGUAAUGUUUACAUUGUUUCUUGAUGAGGUUGUUCAUCAGCUGAUCCAUGCUGCUGUUUUUAAAUGUGCUUUUUAAAUAAAGUUGUCUUUUUUUCUAUGUCAGUCUGUUAUAUUGAAUUGCUAAUGUGACUGUGCAGGCGUGCAGAGUUGAAUUUCCUCAACCUCUAAUGCAGAGCAAGUGAAUUAAAUUUCUGUUUCUGCUUGAUUGUUAUGCAGCUCUCAGUCCAAAUAAUUGUAAACAGAUUUUCAAUACAAAUCAUUUCAACAAGUUCUAUUUUUAUACAUGUAUUUUUUUUUAACAUAUAUAAGGAUUAAAACAGAGAAAGGGAGAUUUAAAUUGGGUUUCUGGUGACAUAUUUCUGCCCGUAAUAGAUUCACCUCUGGAGAAACGUCCUGCUGGAUCCUGUCAGCUCUGCUUUAGUAACACAUUCAUUUGAAAGCAGCACCUGUCCUCUCUCUGCUCUCCACAACACCUCUCUCCAUCUCCCCCCUCUUCCUCCUCCAUCCUCCCAUCUUCACUGCCCUCCCCUCUCAUGUCCCGUCCUGACCUCCCAUCAUUUUCCUCUGGAGGUCCCUUCUGUCACUCCUGCUUUCCUCUUCCUCUCUCUCUCUGCGUUUCCUCCGUUUUAUACCUCCUCCUCUUCCUCCUCUGACCUCGCCUUGCAACAUCUCCUCACUCUCUCCCUUGUUAUCCCUCCUUUAUCAUUAUCUCCUCUAACUCCAUGCUUUUAUUCAUUCAUCCUUCCUCUUUAUUUCUGGUAGUCUGAUUUGAGUAUAUCUGUAUCAUCCUGUUUUUCUCUUCACCCGUUUUCUUCUCUUCUCUCUUCUUCUAUCUCCUCCUCCUCCCUCCUCUGCCCUUGCCUCAGCGAUCCUGCCAGUGACUGCAUCCUACGCAGUGUAUAAAUCACCUUUUACCACCGAGAGUCACCGCUCCCUCCGCCCGCUGGCCUCGAGAACAGUGGAGGGGGAGGAGGAGGAGGAGGAGGAGGAGGAGCGAUCAUGGUGUGGCCCAUUUGGGAAACCUCAGAACAACCUAGUCCACUUUUUUGUCUUCGUUUUCACAGGGAGACGUUUCCAUAUCUUCUACUCUUCUGAUUUUAAGGGAUGUUUAAAGUACCAGAGACUGUCUGAAAGCUGACCAGAGCCUUUCUAUGAUGUCUAAAAAUGCCACUUCAAGUCGGACAUGUGCAAACCUUUGCAUGUCAGCAUUAGAAAGACCAAUUGGUUCACCAAACAUGAGUACUUUUAUUACUUUAGGCCCAAAGCUACAAUCCUCAACUACCUGGAUGUAAAUGAACACAGAUGACAAAUGUGGCUCAAAGGGAUCUGUCAGUAAGGUUUUUUUGGGUUAAACUCAAGUAUUGCCACUUGAUUGGAGCAAAGUGUAACCAGCACAGGCAGGUGGAUGUUCACCUGCAGGAAGGACCAAAAUCUGGUGGUGCUAGCUCUGCUAGUGUUAGCAACGCUCAGUGUUCAGUCAUUUUAAAUAAACUCUUCUCAAUUUCGAUUAUUUCGAGUGCUUUUUUUAAGCUUUAUGUUGUCUUCACACAAACAAAAUUAAUGAUUCACUUUCACCACCGAAAAAGACUUUGACAGAAGUGCUAAAAUACGUGAAUUACAAAUUCGUCUGAAUUCAUCAACCUGGGAGACUCCUUUACAGAGUUAGACUCAGAUGAAGCGUCUUUUUUUACUGUCUAUGUUGACUCCCUUGUUGCUAUAGCUGUGCAGUAUUUAGAGUCUUACCUCUGCACACUGAUGUGUCCUCAUGAGCUAUGAAGUCUUUCCACAGGUCCUGUUUUGCCAAAGUAUUGGAAAUGCGCCUCUAGAAGGUUUGCAGUUUAUUAGUUAAUGUGGUUUGCAGCUCAGGCGGGUCGGCGACACCGGUUCACAGCACCUCAGAGAGGAGUUAAGUGAUGCUAUCGAUCGGAUAACUGGCAACGGAGCAGAGCUGUGAGGAGAGGACGCCUUCUGCAUGUACGGAGACCCACUCCCCAGGACAGAGCAGAGACCCUUCCCACAGUCUGAGGAGCAGAGGACAGGUUGAGCUCAAGAUUUUGUCUAAUUACUGCAGAUUUUUAUUAGCAUUUCAGGUAUGACUAAGCAGACGUCUAGUGUCAAUGUCUUGUACAAGGCUCUUUUCUCAAGUUAGUGUUGUUAAAUAUGCAACAGCUCAUCCUUUCAAAGUGAGUUUAAUUAACCCUGCGAUGACGAUAAGAGACAGAGAAGUUGAAAGAUUGUAGUUCAGGGAUUUGCAAAGUGUAAGAAAAAGGUUUUACUUUUGUUGUAUUAGGUUUGUCGCUAUAGACCGAUGAAGACGAUAACCAUCAAUUUUUUUUUUAAAUGUGAUAUUGAAAUUGCGUCAAAAUAAGAAAAUAGUGAGUUCAUAGUAUUAGUCCUUAUGCCGGCUGCCUCAUUUCUUUUCAUGUCAUCCACCCAGCUGAGCAGGUAUGUAAUGGAUAUGAGUGAUAUUGAACUUAAAAGGUGGAACAAUGUUAAAAACAGUAAAAACGGCAUAAACAGAAAAAGAGUUUGUAUUGUUGACGGUUUAAAUUCAUCUUUAAAGUGUGUUAAAUAGUAAAGUGUAAGUUUAUAUUGGUAAUUGGUUUUGAUAGUGUCAGACACUUCCGGUUUUAGCCAGCAGGGGGAGCAUGUUGCUUGCGACUCUUCAUUACACCGUGGAAUAAAAUCUAGCAACAGUUCGUUUGUCUUUCUUUCUAUUUCUACCCUUACAGGUAAGAAAAGUACAAAAAACAUACACAAAACUGUUCAUGUGGUUUUGUUUUAAUAUAUAUAUAAAUGUAUGUGAUGGGGGGUUAUAUGUAGAAUCGGUUUAGAGAGUUUAUCUUGUGUUUGUCCGAACUGCUGAUGCUAAUCUUUACAGUUCAUUACACUGUGGACUGAAAGCCAGCAACAGCGCGUUUGUCUUUCUUCCUAUUUCUCCCCUUGCAGCUCGCUGUGCAGGGGUGUAACAGUUUACAGGGUCCUUUUUCCACAGUUUCAUACUGUAAGUUUGGGGGGACACUUUUGCAUGUUAAAAGGCUUAAAAGAGCAUUUCUUUAUAUUUUCAAUAAUAUGAAAAGGCAUUAAAAGUCUUCUUAUGUUUUAUACACUCAUAGGGCUUUUAGACGGCACUCUUAGCAUGUUGGUGGGAUAUCAGGGGGAACAUUGUUAUGAAUUUUCCAGGGGAAGAGCACCAGCGAGGAUAUUUAUGGUGUUUAUGGUGUUUUAUUUACUACAGGGCCAUCCCGAACUGUUCCUCCACUCCUGUCUCUCUGUAUGAUAAAAACUGCUCUUCUGGCUCUGAGAUCUCGACGUUCUAUUUCCUCCUCUGAAAACAUAUUGUAAUUCACCCACCGGCUCCGUUCCUCCUCACAUUAGGGAAACAUUUUGCAGCAUUAAUCACUCUGUGCUGACAUUACUUUCACACCCACACUGUGGAUAAAUCGCUCCAAAGACAAAUGGAUGAUCAAAGCAGCAAGAAAACUUCCAUCUGGAGACUCACGCACUUCGGUGGCCUCCUUUGGUUUCUCUCUCUCUCUGCUGUCUCAUGGCCACCAGAGCCAAACAUCCUGGUAAUACAACACAAGACAAGCACCAGUGGUGAGAGACCAGAAAACUGAGGUGUGGAUGAAAGAUAAUGGAGAAAAAAGGAGGGAGAGAUAACAUGAAAGUGUGGCAGACAGAAAAACACUCAACAGAUCAGUGGAAAAACUCAAGAAAACAAAACAAAAACGAUGAAGUUCAACUGAAUCCUGGAAGCUGCUCAUUCACUCAGGGUAAGAAAAAGUCAGUCCCACUGAAUUUAAAUUUAGAGACUGAAUUUUCUCCAUAAAACUUGUACAACAUGCAGAUUUCCUUCAAAUAAAACAAGCUUGAAAAUAUAACAGCAACCAACAGAAUGUGGUAUGUACAAUCAUGCUGCAGAUGCCAUCAAAUUCUUUAAAAGGAAAAUUUACUGCAGAAGAAUAAAGAUGUAGAAGAAAAGACCACCGUAUUAGGCGUUUGGUUUGGUCAGAAUUUGCAGUAAACUUCCACCCAGAUCUGAGAUUUUAUAACAAAUACCUUAUUUGUUUCAGAGGACCAGAGUGGAGCACCUCGACUAAAUAACUAUGAUGGUAGUUAUGAAAAGAUGUUUUCACCAUCUUCUCUGGACGUAGGUUUGUAAAGGAACCGUUGGAUUUUUUCCACAUGCAGUCUCACACAAAUCGGUGACCACUUCACACUUCCCAUUCUGAGAGACUUGGACGCCCCGUUUGUUACUAACCUGUUGGAAAUUACCCUGUUAGUUGGGAGGUGUUCCUCCAGGUGGUUUCUCUUUUCAUUCUCAACUGUUUUAGAGUUUUGUUGUUUCUAUUCCAGCGUGUUCAAGAACUCUCUAAUUUAUGUCUUCAUUUAUAGAAGACUAACCAAGGACAAGAGUUGCAAAGUAGCCAUGGCUUAAAACCUGAAUCCCAAUGGUUGGUUGGUUCCUGGGAUUUUCUGAGACUUCCCCCACAUCAAGGUAACAAGUUAGUUAGGUAACCUUUAGCUGUCCACUAGAACCUCUUUUACAUAUCCAGAAAUCACCUACUAUUUCUCCAAAAUUCCUCAUAAAAUCUGAAAUUAGUUUACAUAUCAAACAUACUUCCUCUGAUGCCAUUGAGGUCAUCCUCAACGCCUAUGAAGGACUUGGAUCAGGACUUCAAACCUGGUCUUCAUUGCUGUUUACCUUAUUUUAAGUGUAAGCUGACCUAAGAUGCCUAAAUCUGAGCUAAAGUUAAUCUCAUGUGUGUAGUAGGAUUACAAGCAGGUUGUAUAGCUCAGCUAACACCCCCAUCAUAGUCCCAUCUGGUAUUGUCGUUUCGUGGAAAAGAGUGAAAACCUCAUUCAAACCCACAUCACAUGAGCAGCCUUUCAAGGCCUUUUAUCCCACGAAAUUUCAUGACUCUGAGUUUAACCCAAAGCUGGAGCGGAGAUAAAGACCCAGUUUAUCUGAGUUUAGAGAGAAAUGAAAUAUUCAGGGAGAUCGGUGGGAGCUUUGGCCUGUAGCUGCGCUGCAUACAGAGAAUAUAAUAAUACAAUAUUUAGAAUCUGUGAGAGUCCGCUCUAACGGCAGAUUAUGAACUGUCUUUAGAAACCGCAGGAGACCAUCAGCUCUGAUUAGCUCAGACUUCACAUUUUCUGAACUGGAGCCAAAACUAGCCGGUGGCUAUUAAACCAUCAAUGGUUUUAGUAUUCAAACUCCCACUCGACCCACAACCCGCCCGCCCACCCGCCCGCCAACUCGGUGUGAGACUGUGUAAUUGCGCUGUAUAUCACCAGUGAAAGCCAGGCAAUCAGAAGAACCAUGAAACGGCUCUCAGUUUCAUUGUGGUUUCAUUCAGAUGGCUGCUUUUUGUUUUUCAUUGCUCUCUUGCAGGCAGCAUUCUCACUAAUUACACAACAGGCCCAGCCUGAGGUCUCUGUUUGACUGUCAUACCAUCUGGAAUACCCUUCAAUAAAGAGUCUGCUGCCAUUUCAUUGUAGGGUUUGAGAUAGCUUUGUCGCAGUACAAUGAGCCCAAUGAAGACAUAUUUCUCAGGAUGUUGUGGGAAUCAAGACUUUGUGGAAACUAUAAAGCUUUCCUUUAUUUCUCUGUUUAUCUCCACUUCCCUCUCGCUUGGCUGACACGUGAUUCUUCCUGGGCUCAUCAGGGUUGACUCAGAGGUGGACUUAACACAAAUCCAGUAAAGAGGUUAGCAGCCAACAUCUCCAAACUAAAGGCUGACACCCCCAUCCCAAAGUCCAUGUCUCUAAAUCUAAAGGUUAGCAGUCACUGUCCACCAUCUAAAGGUAUGAGAAGACCAGGACUCAGUCAAAGGGUUGGCAGUCGUUGUCUCCAAGGUUUGGGGGUCAUCAUCUCCCAGUCCAAAAGAUCAGUGGUCACUGUCUUCACUAGCCCCUGCAACCCGACUCCAGAGAAGCAGUAGCAGAUGGAUGGAUGUCUCCAGGUAGAGAGUUUCGUGGUCUUUGUCUCCUGGUUGAAAAUGUUGGCAGUUGUCAGCUCUUCAUCAAACGUUGGCGUCCUUUCUCGUCCAGCCAAAAGGUUGGCCGUCGUUCUUUGUUUGACAGCUUGGCUGAUAUUGUCUCCUAACAGACUGGUUGGCUGUCAUAAUCUCCUAAUUGAAAGGUUGGUGGUCAUUGUCCCCCUGUCCAAAAGCUGGCUGUCUUUGUACCUAAUUUAAGGGAGGGUGGUUAUUGGUCCACAGAGGCUGGACUAGGAUUAAAUGGAAAAAUGAGACCUUCAAAUUAAAGGUACAGGUUUAUUAGUCUUUAUGUCGUCUACACUUACACCAAAACCAAUGUUUGAGUUUUAAAAAUGCUCACAUUUAUCAUCUCUGCUGUUGUGCACAUAAGUUUAUUGGAUUUUACUCUUUAAAUUCUCAGUCAGUUAAUCUGGCACCUGCUAGAAAACUCGAAUGCCACGUUGAACCAGUUUGAAAAACAAAUAAAAACCAACCUCCAGUAUGGUCCACUUCAAUCUGCUUUGAAUUGGGUAAAUAUGCAUGAAUGAAUUGGCAAUCACAAACUGCACUAGCUUCUCUUUAAUCUAGUAAUCUUGAAGAUUUUUGAUCGCACUUUUGUCCUAAAGUCUCUCUCGAAGUGUGCAAUUGUCGUGAGCGCAGUGGGACAGUCGUGUACACGUCCCUUUUUAAAUCACUUCUGUUUAGGUUCAGGAGACCAAAGGUUGCACUAUCUGCAGUUGAGUAAAUUUUAUUUAAUGGAUAUUUAUCGGAUCAAUAUCGGUAUUGGCCGAUACUGAAGGCUACAAUAUCGGUAUGGUAUCGGAAGUAAAAAAAAUUGUAUCAGGACAGCCCUAACGAAAACUUUAAAAAGUGUUGCUUUUACUUUCAUCAGUUUUCUGUGUCGUCACCUGAAUUAAACAGUGAUCCAGAACAGGAGGAAUUAUACAAAUAUUAUUAAUAAAACAUAAAAAUAAGAGACAGGAAAGGUGAAGUGUUUCAAGGUAGACAUCAAAUACAGCAGAUAUUAAAAUGUACACCUUUCAAAACAACGGCAGUGACCUUGUUUCCACAGUAAGGGCUCAUAGAAAAUUCUGUUAGAGAGUAAACAGCCCUAAAAAAUACACAAUGCACAGAGAGAGAGAGAGCAGAAAACAACAGAGGCAGAUAAGCAGAGAGAUUUGUAGACUUCCAGCCUAAACGGUAUUUUUAAAGCUGAAGAGGAGCGAAGCGAGAGCUCACAGAGACGUAAAGGACUGUAUAUACAAAGAGUGUCUGCAGGGGAGGGAAAUGGAAAACAUCCAUUCACAGAAAAAAAAGUUUAAAAGAGAGAAAGAGAGAGAGGAGGGAGACCAGAGGGGGAAAAUGGCAGAAGAUUCAGGACAGAGUGAUGGAGGAGAGGAAAAGGGGAGAUAAAAGUGGCUGAGGGGCCCGGCUCUUUCACCAUCCAUCUCCUCUGUGCUGCAGAGAGAGAGAGAGAGAGAGAGAGAGAGAGAGAGAGAGAGAGAGAGAGAGAGAGAGAGAGAGAGAGAGGCAGUCACAGGCUCAGCCAUCAAGCACUUAUUGACAGUACUGCAGCAGCCGCACACACACACCUAUACAAUACACACACAUUAGAAUAGCAUUUACGACAGGCUUAGAGCUUCAAGGCAGCCCAGAGGGAGGACGGGCUUCUCUCUGCCUCUGCUGUUGUUAAGAGGAGCUCUCACAUUUAUUAUUAUUUUCACUUUUAUUAUACCAACAUUAUACAAACAAUUAAAUUUCUCUGCUUAAAACAAAAGAGUCGAGUUAUUAAAACUUCUCCUGAAAUAAAGAAGAAGAAAAAAGCGGGUAAAGUUUUGCAGCGGUUGUAAACUGCAGUCUUUUACAAGCAGCUGAACAUGUUAUAUUUUAGAGCGCCAUUAUUCUUUAUAAUGUCACACCUAAAGCCAUAAGGCUACAGGACAGCUGCUUAAUGGCACUACAAGAGAUAAAGACGGUGAAAACGCUGAGCUCAGCCGUGGGAUGAAGGUUAGAAACCACAACAACAAACUGUACUUCUCUGAACGCACAGCAACAGUACGCACACAUCACAGUUAUAGGUGGCUAGGGUUGGGUAUCGUUUGAUUUUGAACGAUUCCGGAUCUGAUUCCGAUUCUUCAUUUCAAUUCCGAUUCCUAAAUAUUCUCUAUUAAAAGAAUAAUGCAUGGUUUAAAUGAGGGCGCUAACCAGAGUUCUUCUUUUUGGAUGAAAUUUCUGAACUUUUCCAUGAAAUUUUAAAUUAAAUUAACUUUUUAAGAACUUAACUUUGAAUUUUUGCUGUCAGAUCAUUUUUCUAUGAAAAAGUACACGGGCUAAAGUUAGUUGGAUAUUUAAGUUGACCCACCGUACACAGUAUAAUUUGUGCCCAACCCUAUAGGUGACUUUUAAGUCGCUUUACUCUCAGUAUCGUGUUCAAGUAUCAGGAUGAAUUUAACGUCACAGGAGCUUUAAGUGAUGAAUCAGGCUUUUAUCAGGUUUCAGUUUUGCAGAAAAAAAAUAUUUUAAAAAAUCUGAAAUGUUUAAGGAUUGAAGCAAAACUGUGAUAAAUUUAUCCCAAACUGCAUCAUCAUUUUUAUUAUUAUUAUUAUAUUGUAAGAUUGUGCACCAGAUAAACAGUACAGAUACACAACAAUCAGACGUGGAUAAAAACUGGAAAAUUCACACGUCACUUGCCGCUGUCUGUGGGCGUCUGCAGAAAAACAACCCACUCAGGUUUUGAUUGCACAUUGUCCGACAGCUGUGUCGUCUCUUACAUUUUUUGUCUCUCUCUCUUUAUGUCUCUUCAGUGUUCGGUAUCGGUCCAGUGUUCUUCUCUCUCUCUCGCUCAUUUCCCAGCCUCAUUCUGUCACUAGCCCCGCCCGCCUGAUCAAGCCCCGUGUAUACAUCAAACCUGCACCAUAAAGAAGCUGUGCAGCCAGCAUGGAGGCGCUAUUGGCAGAGCUAUAAUGGAGACAACGAUUUAUGGUCUGAAACAGGCAUGUGUCUGCAUUUCUGUGCGGGUGUGCAUGUGUGUAGGUGUACAUUUAGGGGAAUCUAAUGGACUCUUUCUAAUUUACGUUUGAGAUGAGAGAGAAGGAGAAAGAAAGAAAAACAGAGACUGAACUUAACGCAGGAAAAGAAAAAGAAGAAAGUGUUGGAGAGAUUAUAUCUUUGGACAGUUAAAAUGAGGCUUUCUGAAUAAGGAAAUAUGUUUUUUAAAAGAAAACAAAGGGUUGUAGAAUAUAGAAAUCUUAAAAAACAAAAAAAAGGCGCAAUUUGAAGAAAAGUUUGUGGAUUUUUGCACAAGCCGGGCUCAUUUAUGCUUCUUCCAGGACAAAUUCAGGACGUUUUACUAUGUAAUUUGGUUUAGACAGUCUGGAAUAUUUGGACAAUUUUAAUAGAUAAAUCCGAAAUGUGUUUUUUUUUUUUUCAAACCUGUAAAAAUCCUUUUCUGACUUUGACCUUAAUCUCUCAGUGACCUAGAUUAUGACAAACAGAGUUUCGACACAAGGAUGGAAAAUAGGAAAAAAUACAGAAAUAAAUGUGAUCAGUUUCCAGGUCUUAAAAUGUGUGGACAAUGAAAAAUUAAGUAUGGAAAAAUAUUUAUGUUUCUAAACUUUUACCACAGUUCUAAAACACUGUUUUCUAAAAUAGAAAAGUGGGUAUUUCCAAAAAUAAGGAACCGUGGACUAAUAUGUGAAGAGAACACACUGCUUAACUUCAUUUCUGGCAAGAUAAAAAAAUAAAAGGUGUCAUGAGUUCCCAAUUUUGGAGGUUUUAGGUUUGGUCCAUCAUGUCCUUAUCCAGUCUACCUUGAGCUUGUCUUCCUUAAGUGUGCAAAAUUAUGCAUUUCAAAAAGGACGGAUGGAAAAAAACAAGCUUCUACACAAAAUUAUUACGGUGUUCCUCAGGGCUACACUCUUGGUCCUCUUCUGUUUUCAGUGAAACAGUUCAAGUACUAACUCAGACAGUGUGAAAAGGUCCCAACUUCCUUUUAAGUACUUUAUCUGUUGUUUUCAUGUAAAAAAAAAAAACUUCUAAGCUUGCCAUAAAAAGUGCUGAAAUGUUGUCCUUUCCUAUCCUGGAUGUUCAAAAGUUCAUCUAUAAAGUCAAGAGUCAUUGCACAGAAUAAGAGCCAUUAGAAUGACAGAAAGAACAAGAAAACCAGCCCAAUAAGUACCGUACCGAAACUGUCUGUCCAACCAAAGCAGUAUACACAUACUGAACCAUAUCAACUCUCUCAACAGGAACAAGGUAAUCAUUUUUCUUACCCUGCAAAGUCAUCCCCAAACACUCGGUUCUUCCUUUCCCAACAAACACCCAAACUUUGCUAACCCUAACCCUCCAAAGAGAGAAAUGUUGGAAACCGCUUACUUUGACAUGACGAAGAUCAAGAGCCAGGACUAAUAUGAUGGCUGGGAUGAGACCAGGGGAAAUGACGGAGCGAGCAGCGCUGGAGUUGGACUUUCAUGCUGUCGAAACACCAAGUCCAGGUGAUCUGAAUCAAGCAAAAGACAGAAACAAAGAAGGGUUAGUCAGGUCUGCAUGGACAGAGUUUGACAGAAACUGUUACACAAGUAUUUUCAUGGAGUAACUUUGACUCACAGCACAAGGAGAAACACUUUGGUAGUUGUAUAUCUACGUGUGGAACUUUUAAAUUGAGUGAACAGGUGCAGACCAGAGGAGUUAUAAAGGCGAGAGAGAUAGAUGGACAUCUGUGAGAGAAGAUAAAGGAAAAUAGGAGGCAGAGGCUCCCAGACUCUCCGGUCAGUCAAUCUUCCUCUCGUUCCACGGUUCAUCUUAAACGUCUGUGUCUCAUAUGUUCCGGUAGAUUUUGUUUAUUGUAUGUUCUGUGUGGCGGACUUUGCUGCAAACCUAAUUUCAAGGACAAUAAAGUCUGAAAGUAGAUUUAGUGCCAGAGACAGCGGGAGAGGAGAGGUGCUAAAGGUGAAUCGUUGAAUAAUGGAAUACUUUGGGAGGCGAGAGAGGAACGGAGUGAUGGACGGAGGCAGAUAGAGGUAAGUGAAAGAGCAAGUGAGGUCAGUCUGGUUUCAUGAAAUGUUGACAAAUGAGCUCAAAAUGUUUAAAUGCAAAGAGCUUUGCGUAGGAAAAUAGAGGAAUAUAUUCCCCUGUUGGGGAGGAUUAGAAAGGGAGUAGAUCAACUUUCAAACACGGUGAUAUCGCCUCAGCGUGUGAGCAUCCCAGGAGGAGUUUUGGAAACUUUUUGACUAACAUCCAAAACCCUUAAAAGUACUUUUUACUCUCACUUUUGUGGUGUUGGCGUUCCUGUUCAGAUGGCACCGCUCCUGUCGUUCAACAGCAAAGCCAAAAUAUCCCUCGCUGUGGGUGUUAUUUGGGCAUUUUCUCCAUAAUGAUUUUAUAAAUAAAGAUUUAUAAAUAAAGAAAUGAUUUUUGAGGAGGAGGAUAUGAUAGGGUGACCAUACGUCCUCUUUUACCCGAACAUGUCCUCUGUUUGGGGGCUGUCCGGCCUGUCCAGGGGAAGUUUAUAAAAUCCUUCAAAUAUCCGGGUUUUGUAUGGAAGUUUGUGUCCAGUUUGUGUACCGUGGACUACCUGGAGUUAGAAGUGUGUAAAAAACACUUCACCCGACCCGAAAAUCCUCCAAAUUUUGGGGAUUCAGAAUAUGAUCACCUUUGGAUAUGACAAACAUGUACAGGAAUAAUCAGUGCUGAAAAGUGGUCUGAAAAUGUUCUGUCUGAGCUCAAACUAAGGAAACAAAAUGCGUAAAUAAAACAGAAUUUUAACCCUGAAUCCAUGUCAAAUAUGAUGACCUGAGAAACUUACUCACCAAAUCGCUCACCAAAAGUCAGGGAAUAAAAGACGCAGCAGGAUGAGCAAAAAACUGGAUUAAAUUUGAUGUUUCAAGCUGCUAAUUUUGUCUCAAAGCCUGGAAAAGAGGAUGAGAUAGCUUCUAUUUGGUGACGUGUAAGCCCAUGUGUUGUCGGCAUAUACAUAUUUAUAUAUAUGACAAAAUACUUAAACUUUAAACUACAAUAAAGACCCCAAACUAAACUUUAAAAUGGUCCAGUUUUACUCAAAGCAACCAUACACAUAAACAGGUGUUCAUAUUUCCUCUAAAAUGCAUGACACUUCGUAGCUCUAGGAGAUGUUAUUGAAAACUUUCUGCAUGUACUUUAUUCUUAACCUGGUCCCAGUCAAGACAAGAGACCGCACACUAAAACACAACAGAGUAUCAUGCGCUCAUAUUUGAAUAAAGAGAAUGAAUAAUAGGCGUGCACAUACUCUACACAGGAACACAAACACAUAAUACCAUCACAGAGAUGCACACACACACAAUACACCAGGACAAACAUUUGCACUCACACAGGUUCACUGAAUGCAAAUGUAAGAGUGCAAUCUCUCUCUCACACACACACACACACAGAUGCACGCCACCAUUAUACAGUGUAUCCAUACCAAGCCAUGCAUACACACACAAGCACUAACUCUUCAUAUACGCAUAUGAAAACACACCUGCACUCAAGUAAUAUGAAUACAUUAGUCAUCUCCAUAAAUGCAUAUAUUGUCUGCAAACACACAAACUCUACAGACACACACACACACUCAGUCAGGGGCAGAGAGCUGUGACACACAGACGCUGAUGCAGCUUAAUGACCAGAAUAAUUUAGAAUAAAGCUUCAUACUUACUCCCCCAUCAAACACGCACACACACACACAAAUACGCCGCUCACGCUCCGCCACCCACAGCGCUUAGCAUCCAGCUCAUUCAGCUCACAUGAAUUUUUAAAGGACCUCCUUUAUUACUCUUUGGUUUUAUUUGCGAACAAUAACAGCGUGGUGAGUAAUACCCUCAUGCGUAGGAGCAGAUAUUCCAGCGAGGGGGUUUAUGAGCGUGCACGCCGCAGCCCCACACUCUCAGAUAUUUGCUGAAUGGCAAUUACAGUUCAGCACGGUUGGUGAUCUGCGUGUUUAAGUGCAGCCAUGAUGCAGGGAUCUGACCGAGAGGAGGGUGUCCUGCUGUCAAAUGUUAUGUUAGUCCUGCAGAUGCCUUCACCUCAUUUCUAUUCACAGGUAUGAGGUAGAUGGGUGGGAGAAUAUGGAGAGAGAAGAUGGGAAACCCAUUCAAUACUUACUGUCAGCAUUGAGAUACUGUACUGCCUGAAUGAGAGGGGUUUUCAGCAGGGUCUGACAUUUUCUCCGGUGGAGAUGUGCAUCAAAAUUCACCCUCUGGGCUCCUUUAAGGAUUCAGUUCAUUUACACCUGGAGAGAGCCCUCAGUAAAUCUGUCCUGAGUAUGGGGGAGGGGAGGAAGUGUCUGUCAUUCGCCUCCAGUGUUCCCAGUGGUUCCCAGCUGGGAUUCAAGGCCGUUCACAUAUUUAUGACCCAGGCAAAAGCAAACUGAAACACCCAGCGGUCAGAGCCCAGAGGUGUCACACUGUACGUCAACGGCUUACCGGCGAAUGUUCAAUUACUUUGCUCGGCAUCCCCUGGAGUGCUGCAUGAUUGCUCCUUUAAGAGAAGCAAUUUGAUACUGUACAUUACACCAGGAGCCAAAGGCCGUAGCUCAAAGCCGAGAGGAACACUUGGUAAACAGGAUGCAGAGCGGUUAUGGAGGAGAAAGGGAGAAGUUAAUUUACUGCUUCCAGCCCGAUGCAGCACUCUUUACUGCUGCAUGACUGCGCCAGCAGGACGCAAAUGUUCUCCGUUUCCAAAGAGAUGGAAGUGACGGCGGCGUUUCUCACUGAACUCAGUGGAUCCCUCUUAAUUUACGACCUUCAAGAAUCAAACUCUGGGGACGAACAACAGCAUGUACGCACAGGUCAGUGAGAAAGUACAGCAACUGACAGAGUACUUUUUUAAACAAAGAGGCGGGAACUACUUUCCUGUAGUUCCUUAAGACUCCUCAGUCAGCGUCUGAGCUCAUGUGAAUAUUUUUGAGUAAGUAGGUUUUUCUUUUUCAGUUUUAGAUCUCUGAAAAUUGAGGUGCAUGUGGCAGUCGUUUACUCGUAUCAUGCACACCCCUAAGAGACAGGCUAUCAGUUUACGUCUGCUUGGUGCUUGUUUGCAAGAACAUCUAACUCCGUAUUACUCCAUCUUACCCUUUUUAUUGUGAUUAAUUGCAGUUCCUUCAGUGUACAGAUGGUCUUGUCUGACACCUAUGACCUCUUACUGCUACUACCAUUAAAAAAUUAAACGAACAAUUGCUAGUUUUUCGUCAGUGUUCUUGUUUGCUUUCAUUUGGGUAAAUUGGGUUAAUACUUCACAACUUGUAUGAGAGAUCAACAAUAAGGAGGCAAAAUUCACAUUUUUCUUAAUAAAUCAAAACAAUUACUCCUUUAUUUGUUAUGCAAAUGCAACAAUAUGUUUCACAGAAUAAGUAAACACAUUAAAAUCCCAUUUACGCUGUGAAAGAAGAAUAGUAUCAUCAACAAAAGAGGAAACUUUACGAUGCAAGGGUGCUUUUUUUUUUUAAAUCAAAAUGCUGAGAAAACAAAUAGAGCCAUAUUAUUUACCACUGAUGUUAAAAAAAACACUAAAAACUCUCAUCUUACCCUCAGCAUCACCAAAAGAACGACCAACCACAGUCCACCAAAACGUCCACUUAAUGUUGGUCCCCUGUUGUUGACUUGGCAACGAAACCAAAGUCCUCUGUUGUGUACGUUGGUGAGUAAACACACACAAAUUAAACUUUUACACCAGUUAAGAUCCAUUGAUUAUGAAAGAAUAAUCACCAGAGAUGAUCAUGGUUUGAAAUAGAUGAAAACACAACCGAUAAGAGUCCCCCAAACCCUUCUGCUCUGAUUGGUCCCCACUUGGUCACUUACGAAUAAAACCAAAGUCCUCUGUUGGCAGGGUAAAUGAGUAUUCAGACACACACGGGUGUGUUUUAUCAAAGUUAUAGAAAUUAAAAUCAAUUUGGUGGACAGACUCAUUAAAAUCCUAACAUUCGCCAAAACAGGUCCUAAUAUAAAGUCCUGCAGCGAUCUGGAGAACCAAAUGAUCAAAACGUCUUUGAAUUCAGUUUAAAAUCAGCUGUUGAAGGAUUAGAUAGUCUGGAAAAACUGCUCUACUGGAGAAGUCAUAACAAAUCUGAGACUGAAAGAGGAGGAAAGGGGUUUUAAGCCAGAGAGAAAGUUCAAGACCUUUGGAGAGAAAAUAGCGAUUAAUAAAGUUGAUUGAGUCUUCACACACCAGUGGGCAGCUGAAACCGGUCCUUUAGAGAGAGUCUUUGAUGCAGUGAGCGGACGGACAGCAGUGGAGGAAGAAGUCGAAGCAGAGGUGGUGGAGGGUGACAUCAUUUGUGGAAAGGCUGUCAGGGCGAUCACAUCACAAAUCCCUCUGACCUUUGAAACCGUGCCUUAAAGAUUGAGGCUCAGGCUGUUUCCUCUCCUCUCCGUGUGAUGGACGGCUGUCUAAUCUGCUCCUCAGAUGACUCAGUCAGCCUCAGGUACCUGCUUCAGACCAGGAUUUCUCAUCUUUUUGGUGAUUAAUGUUGGCUACCUUUGAUAUCUACACACUUAACUGUUGUAAUCUGUAUCAUUAAAGGGACAGUCCGUAUUUUAAGCAGUGUUUCAUGACAUACUUGUCAGGCAGUGUAAGGGAUACCGACCAGAGAAGCGGCACAUGACAACCCCACUUGAUCAACUCCACCAUGAAAUUUAGCUAAUUCUACGAAACUCAAACCCCAGAGUUUUAUUCUUGCACAAUUUCUGGAUCCAACAUUUAAGUGAUUUUUUUUGCCAAUCAGCUGUUUGGGUCUGCAGACUUCAAAAGAGACCAAAAUAAACCAACCUGACACAGGAACACUAGCAUGCUGUUUACAUAGACACAGCCGCGAAAAACUGCACAAACAAACAGGUGGUCUGAUGCAAAAUAAAACACUAAAAAUGUUCCACAUAGAGCAAAAACAAAACACCUGCUUCAACAAUAUUUAACUGGACUUUAACAAAAAUAGCUUAAUUACAGAUGCCACUACCUCACACAACCAAACUCAAGAUCUUGUCCUGCCUCGCACUCUCUUAGAUCAGACAUCCGACAGUGUAGGGAUGUAUCAAUUACCGGUAAAAUGAUAAACCGCGGUAAAAUGCCUGACAGUUAGUACUACCGUUUCAAAUUUCAAUUACCGUUAAAACCGUGUUUGAUUGCCACACUCUGGAAACGCUCAAAGAUUGCUCAGUGCUGAAAAGAGCAGCCGCACACAGCAGUCCUUCGGACACAGGUUGCCAACAGUGUUGCAGAGAUUUUUCCGCUGUCAAAGAAAACAAAGUCCGAAGUCUGGGCGUAUUUCGGCUUUUACAAAGGGUCGCAAGGGUUGCCAGGAAGCUUUUGCGCAUCCCAGCAACCAGCAUGUCAUCCAAGAGGCUAUUCAGUUCCAGCGCACACAUCAUUUCCCCUCGCAGAUCACGACUUAAACCAGACAAAGUAAAUCUGCAGCCAUUUUUACAUUUCAAUCUCAAGUAGUGAACAAAGUCAGCAGCAGCACCUUAUGGUGAAGAAAACGGACAAUCGCUUCAUUUGAUUAGUUUACAUAUUUGAUGUUAUUUUAAACUCCUGCACUUCACAUUUGUUUACAUGUGGUUGUUUUGUUUCAUAUAAUCGUGUCGCUCUGUUCUAUAUUUAUUAGAGUCCAUCUUUUUGAGCACUAAAGAUUCUUACAGUUUGCACAAUAAAGGAUGUCAGUUUAUAUAAAUUUUAUUUAUUUGUUAUUAUGUUAAUUUUUAUGCCACUGGCACAUUGUACUUUGUUUUUACAAAGUACAAAGUACCAGUGUUGAUGACCUCUGGCUCUUAAAAGGCCCCAUCUUUCAUUUUUUAAGCGUAUCUCUCCUCUGUCAUUUAAGGUUAAGGAAACGUUCAUUCUAUGUGUUAUUUUGAUUGUUUUUUCAAAAUAAAACCUUGUUAAAUGAUUUCAGGGCGAGUAUAAGUACUUUUUAUACAUUUUGAACAUAUUUCGGCAAUACCGUGAUAAUAUUGAUAAAUGUGCUUCUGUGGGGCAGUAUAAACAUUUUUGGCCUUGUUUUAUACGUUUCAUCGAUGAAACGGAAAGUUACAGCCGAUAAAAGAAGAGAAAACAUGAAGGUAACAGCUGCAGCUUUACCCUCACUGGCCAAUUUCCCACUCACUCUGAAAAAUGUAGAUUAGCUUUUCCAUACACUAGUUCAUAGGUGACCACUAACAGGUGUUUUUGGAAGGACUUUUGUUAAAUCCACGAUGAUUAUGCUUUUAUGGUAGUAAAUUAGUACUUUUGACAAAGAAAGAAAACCUCCUGAUGUCUUUAACAGCAUCUGUUUAUGUUAAAGGUGCUUUUCUGAAACAAAACCAUCAUCUAAAUCAGCCUCCUGCCUUUAUACUCUCAAGCAUCUCCGUCAAUAUUUGUUCGUUUCGGGUCUUACUCUCCUCUUACAUCAUGGUCCCUUGAGUGACAGGGAGGGUUUCAGCGAAGGUAAAUGUAACAGGGGAGGUCGUGGCUGAUCUCUGAAUUCAGAGCAAAGAUAAAACCUGCAGGAGAGUCUCUUACACUGGAGUGUGUAUCCAUCCUGAGCUGACGAGCACACCGAUUAUUUGAUGAGCACCCUUUCUUCUGCUUCUUCUAGUGAGGAUCUCCCAGGAUACUUUUCAAUAACCUCAGCGAUGAUUUCUCUUUAUCUUCAUCUUGAUUUUUCUUCACAGAGACUGACAGCGAUGACUGAAUAAAAGAGUCCGACAUAUGCGGGGAGUGUUCCCCUUUCCCACGGUGGUCCAGUCUGUGUUGUAGCUGCGUAGUAUUGCUGAUCUCUUCUUUUCUUUGAAUUUGAGAGACUUUGAGAGAUGUUUUCAGGCCACUGUGUCAUCUCCUCUGCCUCUUCUGUUUUGAACCAGUUUUUCCAACAUCCCAUACCAUCUUCCACCUGUCCCACUGAGAUAUUUCCUCCACCUUUUCAAGCCACCUGCUCCGGGUCCCGGUUGAACACCUGCUGCCGACAGACAUUCCUCUCAAGACCUGAUUCAUUGAGGUUUAUGCAGCUUUGCACAUGGAAAACCUGUGCAUAUUAAACAAAAAGCAUCUAAUUCACAAAGUAUAUGCAAAGAGUUAUAUGCACCGAAAGCUGCUAAGUAAAACAAAUAGUAUCCUGGGGCAUGGCUGCUAUUGUGCAUAUUUACAUAAGCCAUUAUGCAAAUGAACCUCAUUCCAAAAAUGACUAUUUCACAAACAUCAGUGCUAACAGCCAUGCUCGGUGAGAGUGACUGAGACUGAGUCUGCAGCAUUUGUGAGGGACAGAAAGCUCAAAAGUCCCUGUUAUCAUGACAACAGCACCACCCAUAGACUAUAUUAUGGACAACUUGGCUCCGCCUUCAGUCAUUAUUGCUCUCAGUAUUUCCAGAAUUUUCUCCACUUCCUGGAGCCACCACUUGCGCAGUACCAUUGUACGCAUUCGGCGGGUGAGUCGCUGUGAUUACGCUCGGCUCAAACAGCGUAUCCCCUCGGGUGAGCUACGCAACCUUCGUACGCCAAUAGGCUGUAUCAGGUGUCAAUCAUAGAAAACUUGAACCCCCUAAGAACUUUUAAAAAUGGAGCUGUACGGAAAAAAAGAGGACUUGAUCACAAACCAGUCUGACAGUAACUACAUGUCAACAUCACAAGCAGGGGGGAGAAACAUUUAUAUUCUGUGUCAUUAAUGUAUAAAGUUUGUCCACAGCUCCAUAGGGAUUACCGGAGGAGGCGGGAUUUAUGAUCUAUACUGCAGCCCGUCACCAGAGGGUGCUGUUCUUGCGUUGGUUCCUCCUCUGGGUGGUUUAUUUGUGAAUAUAGUCUGUUCACUUUGGUUAGAUGUCACUUUUACUUAAAUAAUUAGAAAUUAGAGGGGCUUUCAUGCAGAGUUGAUUCUGGUGACCUCAAAAAAGGGUACUGUUGUUUUUUUCCAUGAAGAAGACUUCACCUAAAAAUCUAUUAUAUCAUAAUGUAGUCGAUGUCAUUAGCACAAAUUAAAGGAUACUGCAUUAUUAUUAUGACUCUGAGUGGGUUAUUAUUGAGUUGUUGUGUUCAAAGUGGAAUCAAAGAUGAGAAAUGUCUUUACAUGAGAUCAAAUCAGAUGUGCCUACCUACAAAUGUUGUUCUUUUUGGCUGUAAAUUUACUGUAAAUUACAGACGACUAGUUCCACCACUUUCUCAGUGAUUUCCUGGUGAUUUACUGUAAGUAUUUCAGAGUAAUUUACUGUUCCUGUAUUGAUUUCACAUUAAAAUUCAAAAUUACAGUAUUAUACUGUUAACAUUACGGUUAAAUCCUGUAAAGUGAUGAUACAUUCAUUAAAAGUAAAAUAUUACAGUGAAAUAUUGUAAAAUUCUGCUGAUAAUUUCCAGCCUUGGUUUUAUCUGCCUGUUAGUUUCAGGGCUAUUGAUGAUUUAACAAGGUCCUAAAUGGUUGGUCCUAUUUUGCAGAGGAAAAAAAGUCUCCCUAUCUUUCUUGCCGCUCCAUUUCAAGAGGCAAAGCAGCCCUCGAAAAUGAGCGGUAGAGGGGUAAAAAUGAGAGAUGGGACUGAGCCCGAGUCUGCAAUUUAGGUCAGUGUGGUAUUAUCCUGAAAUAUAGCAGAGCAGGUGAAAUACUGUGUUAAUAUAGAAGCACCUCAAAGACAAAGUGCAGGUCUGCACUGGAGUGGAUAUACUUUCUUACUUUCCUCCUCAGCCUCGGCUGAAAUGAUUGCCGAGUUAAACCGGCUUUCAGAUUGACCAUUUUAUACCCAACAAAACUGCAAAACAGCUCAGACGCUCCACCACAGAGUUAUUAUGUGCUAAAAGUUCAAACCCAGGAUGAUAAUAAGAGGCGGGGAUAUCAUUAUUACUAACACCCACAGCCAUAUUAACACACACACGUCCUCAGAGAGUGUCCCUCAUGCAAAGAACAGUUCUAAGUGCAUGAUAGACCGACUUUCAUAUCACUAAUUAGUCCCUGUUUGUUGUGCAGUUUGGUCCUGAUAGUGUUUAAACCACAGAGGCCUUUAUUUACCUUCUCUCCUCCACUACUUACCUGCAUCCAAGGGCAUUUUCUAACAUCCUACUAUCAACAAAGAUCCCAGCUUGUGUAAGAACAGAGAAAACAAACCUUCAGCAAGGAUUUUAAUGUUUGUCAAAGCAGCAGCAACGACGCUCGCAGCAGAGGUGGUAAUAACGGUGGAUUACAAAUUCUUAUCGUGUCUUUGCCAUCUGCUCCAGAUAAACAGAGCGGAGGUCUGCCUGCGCCGCCUCAGCCUUUCAUUUCUCAAAUCUGUCGCCACCAGCUGGCACCUCGGCCGCGGUAAGGUGUUCAAUAAGAGCAGGCCACCAACCUGGCGUUUUCAAGGUCAAACAGCAACACAAAUUAACAAGAACACCGAGCUAAUACCGUUUUUUUCCUGUCUGAGGAAGAGUCAGGAAAAAACUUCACAACAGAGACACAAACACGAAUCUGAGCAACAAUAUCUGCUGCAAUGUUUAACUCAAAACAAACACUACGCAGCCGGGGGUUGAAGGGUGUCCAGUUCAGCAGGCAGAGGAUCGCAUCGCUGCUUUUUGCGGAUGAUGUGGUACUUCUAGCUUCGUCGAGCAGUGACCUUCAGCUCUUGCUGGGCCAGUUCGCGGCCGAGUGUGAAGCCGCUGGGAUGCGAAUCAGCACCUCUAAGUCCACUCUUGAUUUACUGGUCGAUCUACAUGCCAAUCCUCACCUAUGGCCGUGAACUUUGGGUAAUGACCAAAAGAACAAGAUCGCGGAUACAAGCGGCCAAAAUGGGUUUCCUUCGCAGGGUGUCCGGGCUCGAUAAAACUGGAUGGAGGCUAAUUUUUUUCUGCCCUCGAUCAAUCCUUUCAGCGACUGUAACCCAAAUACUCACAAAUAAAAUUAAAAAAUACAGACAAAAAGUAUAUUAUUGUGAAAGUUCUUACCAUUUUAGUCACAGAGAAAGUGAGCUAGAUCCCGUACACUGAUGAAACCAACAGAGUGGUUAAAAAUACAGAGAUUUUUAAUUGCAGUGCAGUAUCUUACCCAGAAGAUGGCACUCUGAGACACAAGUGGCCACUUCAGUGCAUAGUGAGACGGGCUAGUCAAGCAAAAACACUUUUUAUUUCGUUUUUGAAAUGGUUGGACACUUUUAUAGAGCUGGUUUGAUUUGGAAAAACACGCCUCAAUUCAAGACAAGCGUCCAGCAGAGGUGGGCGGGACAAGUGUCCAUCUGUACCUCACAACCAGUAAUGCUACUUCGAGCUAGGUCUCAAUACUGCAUGAGUAGCUGGGGUGGUGGCAAGAGCAGUUUGUAAUAUAUGGAGAAACGCGUCUGCAUCAAAACUGCACAUUGCUGAACACAAUGAGAGUAUUAAUGCACAAACAGAGUUUAAAAAGGCUUUUAGGUUUAAAGUUCCUGUGAGUCAUUUUUGGGCUGGUUAUAAAACACACUGAAGUCAAUAUUUAUGUUUCAUAAUGAUCUAAAAAAGGAGGAGAGACGGUUUUCUAGUCUCCGCUUAGUAAUUUUAACCAUCUAAAACCACUGGAGGGGAGUGUUAAAGUAGAUAAGAUGAUUUUCUCAAAAACACCAACUUUAAAUCAGCAAAGACGACUUCGUUCAGAACAGACACGGACCAAAAGUUUUAAACUGCUCUAUAAAUUCACCCACAUAUAUGAGAUGCUGUUCUAAAGUCUUGGGAAAAGCAGUUUCAAGCAUCAUCCUGAUCAAGUUUCUGCAGUCAGUGGACUUUGUAUUUAGCUUCUUUGCAGCAGCACCUUUUUUUCCCACUGAGCAACAACCUCUUCACCCACAGUCACACCAUCUUCUCCUUAAGGCAGCGGUUGUUUUUGGACUGAAGUCUUUUCAGUUGAACCAACACUCAUCUUUAUUUACUAAAUAGUGACCCACGGUUGUCUUGAAACCCCAGGCGUGUGGUGGACAGUGCUGAUGUGUGUAAAAUGCAUUUCUUCUGCUUCGGUACCAUGUAACCACACUUUUGACCCCCUCAGCCAUUAUUGCAAUUUCUUUGUUGUUUACUUUUAUAACUAUUUGCUGUUCACACGCUUAAUCAGACAGUCUAUUAAUGUAUUAAUAACUAUAACUUCACUUCAUGGACCCUUGAGACCUGACUGCAGACUGGAUAAGCUCAAAUGUUACUGAUUUUCAGACUUUAAAAAAUGCUCUAACAGGUAUUUAAUGGACAUGGUUAUCGAUUUCAACCUCUACUCUGUGGGCAAACAUGUACAGUAUCACUUUGUUGAUCUUGUCCAGUUGUAUUUUUUGGCAAAUUUCUGAGGUUUCUAAGAUUUCUAAGGUUUGAAUCAGACUUUGUGGUUUUUGUCACAAAACUGUGAAAAGUUUCAGAACUGAAGAGUGGAGAGUUUUGUUCGGUACUUAGUAUUCAAUGAGGAUUAGAGGAAGCUAAUGCCGACCUUUAAAAGUCAGAUCCACUCCAGUUAUGAGUCACUCUGCUCUUUUUCUUUAUGUGGUCCCCGACCUUGACGUAUCAUUCAGCCUAAUAAAGCUGGAGUUGUGACGGAGGCCGGCGGAGGUCUGACACAUUUGUGGAAAUAAAACAGGAGAACGAAACGCUGUUCACAUUUUUAUUUGAUCCAAGUUUGACCAUCAGUGGAGCCGUGGACUUAAAACUUGAUAAUGUUAACUUAAUCAUGUGCAGCAAUGCAAGGGAAACUCUUAUUUUAUAAUGUCAAAAAUAUAUCAGACAAAUCUCUUACUUUAAGAUGCAAAAUUUAGUCUGAAUGAGUCUGAUGGUUUGUUCAUGACCACAGAUGAUGUUGCUUUAAGUAUGAGGCGGGUGCAUGCUGGGUUUCUUCACACUGCUAUUGCCAAAUGGAUCAACAGGACACUACAUGGUUCCGGAUACAACAUUUAACAUUUAAACUCCCAACAAUGUCCAAGUCUGGAGAUGUCUGACUGUUUCCUUUAAGAACCGAUGAUCAUGUCCUCCUCGCUGAGUUAACGCUGCAGCACAAAGAGCUGAUUUUCUCAUGAUAAAGCUACAAGCUCCUUCAAGUUAUUCAGUUUUUCAUCCCAGACAUUCAUCAUGUGACGAUCAGUAUUGAUCUUUGAGAUCAUUUAUGAGCGACUCGGAGAUGAAAAGCUGCUCCUUCGAGUCAUGCAAGUCCUUGUUCAAACUCACAGCUGAUGAAGUAACUUUACUAAAGGCUGACAGCCAUCUCUUAAUCCAAAUAUGCAUACAAGUAAAUUUCAUGUUGUGGAUUUAAGGGGGAAGAAGCAGAAAUCUUAGUAAGCCAAUACAAAGGUAAGUUCUCUGUUUUUCUGUUUUUUCUGUUUUUCUCUUACCGAUAAAUCAGUCUCUUUAAGGCGUCCCUGAUCGUCUUUGGGAAUAUUUCCUCUUCUCUCUCUCCACUCCGACCGUCUCGCCUGCAGGUGCAUUUCUUAAUCAGACUCCCAGAUGUGACGGUGUGCUGCAGAAGGAUUUACUGUUUAGCUGCCAGCUCCUGUUAGGACGGGGAAGUACACACGAAACGACAAGACAGGGGGAGGAGGAGGUUAGCCAAUGACCGCACUUAAACUGCGUACAGGUGGUUUUUUCCUGUUGUCACGGCGAUUGCUACAAUCAUUUCUGACUCUAACCACUAAAAUAAAUAUGUCAAUCAAGAACUGAUAUCUUCAGAUCCUAAUUUUACUCCUAAACUUUAGUUAAAACUAUGUGCAGUACAGGUUCAUCUGUGACAUUAGAGUGUCAUAGUUAUAAUGAUGCUAAAUGAAGAAAUGAACUGAUGUCAAUAUUCAAAUUCAGGAGACUCAGAUAAAGUUACUCAAAAUUAUUGUAUUGGAAAAUUAAAAACACACAAAUUAGAUAAUCACAACAACCAACAAUGAUGACUCCUUGUCAUUGUUGGUUGUUGUGAUGAUUUAAUUUGUGUGUCUAGGAUUUUUUUCCUUUAAAACUCUGUGUUUAUGUCCAGUCCACAAACAAAAGAAAAAAGUACCAAGAGUCCUUGGAGUCCCUUUUUUGUUCUCUAAAAGUCAAUUUAUAUCAAUCAAUCAAUCAAUCUUCAUUUAUGUAGCACUUUUCAUACAAAACGUUGUAGAACAAAGUGAUUUACACAGCAGAGGAAUAAAAGAAACAAAGAAUACUCUGAUCCACGCCAACUCAACCCUCCAUUCCCACCACAACAGAAACGUUUAUUAAAUGCAUGAACUUAAAAAGGGCUCGAUUUCACAGAAACAGAUAAGUGGACAGAGCGCACUGAGGAGACGCCAUUUUAAAACUCAAGAUAAGGAAACACUGAAGGUUUAAAAUCUAAAAACAAAGUAACAUGGAAUGAAAUUUAAGAAAUAAUAAAUAAAAUGACAUAAAAACAACAGCAAAAGAUAUCAAAAUAAGAGCACCAAGAUAGCUCAAUAAAAGAUGAUCCUGUCAUUAAAACUAGAAGAGAUAAAUGUUAAAACACUUCAAGUUAAUGAUAUAAAAUUAGUGAAAAGCAAAACUGAAAAGGUACAUUUUCAGUUUGGUUUUAAAAUCAUUAAGAUUUAUCAUAUAAAUCAUCAAAUAUCAUAUAUCUAUAAAGGGAAAAGUUCAGUUGGUCCUACCAGCCAUGAGUGAGGGGUAGAUGAUGAUGAUGAUGAGGAGGAGGAGGAGGAGGAAGAGAAAUGUUGAUUAUUUAAGGAGAAUUCUGGAUUAAUUCACCAUCGAGAAUCAAAUUCCGGGUAAAUCUGUCCUGUGUGACAAAACCAGAACAACUUUUAAACUUAACAAGAACUUAAAUAUAUGAACAUCGGCGCCAUUUUGACAAGAACACUUUAAAUACUUUUAGAACAAACAUCAUGACAUUAAUCUGUCAUUAUAAUCUACAGCUGGAUAAUCUCACUCACCAAAUCACUGUCUGUAUAAUCUGAAAUAAACCGUGGUCGAGUCUGAGCGGUCCCUCUAGUUGUUUAAGCAGGAGUUUAAUUCAUUACAAACGUUUAUCUGAUGUCUCUGCAGUUAUUUUUAACUAACUUUAAGAAACUCUGUUCGGUCAUAUUCUCCAUUCAGCGUCUCCCUCCCGCCCGUGUUUCACUUCCUCUUUCAAAAUGCUGCAUGUGUGCUACCAUUGGCUGGUAGCGCUCACGCGAGAUUUAAAAACGUGAUUUGACAAAACUCCGCUGAUAUCAUGGAGGAGGAUUUAAAGAGUCACAAACUGAUUACAUUUUAAAACAAAAUUACAAAAAAACUAUUUCAACACAACAUUAUCGAUUGGAUUGAUUUUUUUCAUACUUUUUUACCUCUUAAUUCUUUUUUUUCUUCAUAAAAAUAUUAAUUAUUUAAAAAUUAAUCUGGUCAUUUUGAGAUCUGAGUUACAUUUGUGUUGACUUUUAAAGCUCCUGUGAGGGACUCUUAGUAUGCGUAGAGUUUGGUACCCAUUCAGGCUGCAGCCAGGCCCCUUAUAACCACCCGAGACAUGACCUUUAGGAGAGAUCACAUGCUGUUUUUUAAUUAUUAUUAUUAUAAUUAUAUAAUUAUAAUUAUUAUCCACACCAGAAUAACUUACAAAGAGCAGAACAAAAAGAUCUGGUGAUGCUGCUACGCUCCAAAACUGCUAAACAAACUUCCAGAGGGUCUGCAAAUAUAGAAAUCUUUAAACGUAACCUAAAAAACUCAUAUAUUUAGCCUGGCUUUUAUGUAAAGCUCUAUUAUUUUAAUUACUAUUAUAAUUUAUUUAUCUUUUAGUAUCACUUUUUACCUUAUUUUAUUAAUAUUCAAGUUUAUAUUUUGUCGGUUUAGUUUAUUUUAAUCACUUUAAUUUUUGUUGUCCUGAUGUAAAGCUCUUUGAGCUGCAGUUUCAUUUGUAUGAACAGUGCUGUAUAAAUAAACUUUUAAUGAUUGAUUGAUUGAUAUUAACUGAGGCAUUUUCAUAUUAAUAUUAUAGAAAACAACUAACCAGUGAGUUCACAAUAAUCAUGUACCAAACACAAGCUCCAGGUGAUAGUAACAUUUUUUUAUUGUGACUCUCUGCUGCUCAGAGCUGCUCUCUGCGCUCUCUUCCUGACAUCCCCACAUGCAUCACACGAUGUUCUGGAUGAUGAAAUAAAGUCUUUAUAAUUUUAACAUGAAGCUGAUUCAUGACAGAUGUGGCAGACUUAACAGUUCAUGACCAGCUAACCUCCUGGAGUGAGAAUAAAGCUCAAUUCCUCAUCACAGCUGGUAAAAAUGUCUCUUACCUUCAACAAUAAAAGUAAAUAAAGGCCCCGGCUUGUGUUUGUGGAUUUAAGGUGAGUAGUCCUCUUUUUUCCCCGCUGGCAUGGCGUAGAAACAUCAUCAUGUAAAAAUAAUACAAUCAGGAACUACAUGGAGAAAUAUACUGAAUAUUUUAACAAGGACAUGGAUGUAUACUCAUGCACACACUCUCUCACUCCUCGCCCUGGCUCAAAGCAAGAGCGAGUAUAUUCCCCCCUCUGAGGCCUGACAGGACAUUAACACCUGAACACCUCUGGCAGAUGGAGAGGAGGACAUUGUGGUGAUGAGACAGAGGGGACAAGGCAGCCUAUUUUAGGUUAUUUUCUGGUCUACAACUCUUUAACUGUAACCCAGAAAGACAUAAAGACACAUCAGUGUGACCGGGAUGACAUUUAGGUUAGGUUAAAGUUUCACGAGUGGCGAAAUUAAACCGUCAAAGCAGCAAAUAAAACACAUUCGCAGGAUGAAGCUCAUUAUAAAUGAGUAUGUUACGGGGAGAGCAUUUAGCUUUCAGUCCCAAACAAUAAAAAAGAGAAAUGAGAGAAAAAGAGAGGAGCUGCUGCUGCGUCUGUCCCUCCGUCCUCCUCUGAAUCACUUUUACUGUCCAGAUGACAGAAUGAAAUUAGUGACGUGUGUGCUUUUGAGUUUGUCCGCGGGCUAAAUCAAAUUACCGUGCUCUCAUGGAGAGGGCUGUUUGUUAUAGAAAACUCCUGCAGUCCUGACGUUGAAAUUACAAAGCUGAUUGCCUGAGCUCCUCCAUCAAUACUAAUGCCAUCUGGAGAGAACUGAAGGACAGUAUUAAAGCUGGAACAGAAUAAAUUAGACUACAACUUGUUGCUGGAGGCAGAGAAAGAGAGCCACAAUAUCAAAAAGUAGAUCUAAAUGACUUCAGAAGACAUAAUGUCACCGUGUGAUGAGAGGGGAAAAACACUGCUGUCAACGGAGCCUUCAUUUCUCACAGCUGGAGGGUUUCACUCUGAAAUUAGAGGGACAGCACAUGAGAAACACUUUUGAACCUGAAAGACUCCCGUAUUUAAAGAGACGUGCAGCUUUCUGGAGUAAAAAUAUAUAUAUAUUUUAAAUGCUUCCCGAUUUAAUCACCUCUCUGACAUCAUUUUUUGGAAACUAGACAGGUCAUUUUUGAGUCCUGGAGAGUGCUUGAAUAUCUUUCAAUACUUUCAAAAGGUGAAAGUCAAAAGCAUUGGUGCUACUGUAGAUGCCAACAGACGACCAGCAAACACAAUGUUUGCAGGACUUCUACAACUAGGAUAAAGUGACAUAGUCCAGGACCCGAGGGAGGACAGUUUAGCGAUGGCGCUACAACACGCUACAGCAGGUCCGUUUGACAAGAAACACUUCUGUUACAGACACUUGUCUUACUUUGUUAAAGCGGUUUACCUGUCCAGCAGAAAGGUUACAGGGUCACCAAGAUCCCCAAGCGUCCCCCAUCGUUUAUGUUGACCCGGCUUUUUAGCUCUUGUCCGGUCUACCUCCGUUUUAAGCGCCUGUUAUUCCUCCAGAGUCUCCGGUAUUUACUUUGUUUUCUCGCUUGUGUCGGCAGUCGUGGCCAAAGGAGGAUUCAGACAAUUUUCCGAACUUUCUGGUUGGUUUCUACUGUCCGAUAUUGUAGCACGCUAACUUUGUUUGGGCUCCUGAACGACACGGGGGAGCAGCGUCUGCCUCACAACCAAUCAG